GUCAACAUGACGCAAGCUCAGUCUCUCCCUCUCGCAGUUCACCCUCUCUCUCGCUCUCCCUCUGUCUGACCUAGGUGGCGGCGGUGGAUCCAGUCGACGGUGGUGUUGAUUUGGCUAGCGGCGAUGGUGCUCUUGGCCAUGGCGACCGUGCCGCUGGCCAGGGUGACGGUGUCCGCGGCCAUGGCGGUGGCAACGUUGGCUGCACAUGGUGACGGCGGAGGUAGCGGUGUCAAUGUCGUCAGGUCGUUCUCAGAGGUGGACAACUAGCUGGGGAGCAAUAGUUAAGAAUUAUGCGACCCAGCUUGCUUCACAACCAUGGUCACAGCUUGCCCAGUUGUCGCCGACGUCUGGGUCUUCCAGCGGCGACAGGUGUGCGCCUUCACUCUAUUUUACUAUGAUUUAUUUCAUCUGCAAUUAGUUUGUUGUUGUUGUUGUCUGAAUUUGUGCAUUAACUUGUCUGAAUUUUGAUUGUUUGCACUGUCAAUUAGGAGAUUUCAAAUUUGUUAUUAUGCAACAAUCUAUGUUAAAUUUUGUCUUUGAAAUAGUAAGUAAUGUUGUUGGUAUUGUUGAAAAGAAAAUAUCUAGCUUUACCUGCACUACAGAAGGUUAGAAAAUGAGCAGACCUGGAAGUGAAAAUGUGAUAUGAAGUCUUUGAGGACUGUCAGGGGAGGGGACUUCACCUAAAAUAAAUUCACUGGCUACUGCGAUGAAAAUGGCAUUAAGCAUUUCCUCACUGCUCUAUACUCACCACAGUAGAAAGGUGUUGUAGAGCGUCGAAGCCAUACUGGUGUAUCAGUGGCGAGAAGCAUGUUGAAGAGCAAAGGUGUUCAAGUAUAUUUUGGGGAGAGGCUGUCAGUACAACUGUUACUUACGGAAUAGAUUUUCCAUAAUAAGGGGGUGUUCGGAGUCCCUCCGCUCCGGACUCACUCCGCGGAGCUGACGGAGCUACAGGCUAAAAUAGCGGAGUUGGAAGGUAGGUGCUCCGCAGAUCCCGUAAUUCUGCAGAGCCGGCGGAGAGCCGAACAGGCCCUAAGUGUCACAAAUAUGAAACAAUACAAAGCCUGGUACAACAAAAAGCCUAAGAUUCAUCACGUGCCGACUUUUGAGUGCAGUGCCUAUGUCAAGAUAACUAAGCCAAAUCAAUCUAACUUGGGAAAUAGAAGCAUUCGAGUAGUACUCCUUGGGUAUGCACCACUAACCAAAGCAUACAUGUUAUUUGAUCCCUCCAGUAAACAAGCCAUUACCUCUUGAGAUGUUGUAUUUGAUGAAGCUAAACAAUGGGAGUGGAAUGGUGUAAAGGAACUAAAUAUGCAGGGAGGAGGUGAUGAAUUCAUUGUGUAUUAUUCAAGUGAGCUGGUUGCAGAAGAUGGUGUGUGUCGACUAGUUCAACACCACAAACUAGAAAACCUAAAAGCAAUGCUGCCACUCCAGCAGCAACCAGAUAUGCUACACCUAUCAUGCCAACAACCCCUGUUAUAGCAAACUCUGGUGCGAGAUAGUGCUGGAGCAUAUGCAAGUGCAAGAACUCGGGGAUAUCACAAGAUACAUGACUUGCUAGGUAGUACCUCAGCUUGUGAUAUGUACCUUAAAAAUGAUGACAUGUGUAUGCUCAGUACCGAGGAGCCAACAACAUUUGUCGAAGCAUGCAAAGAAACUUGUUGGAAAAAUGGAAUGGAUUCGAGCACGCGCCACCCCACCCAGCCCCUCACCACACUCUUCACCGCCCGACAUGCUUCUAGAUCUGCUUCUGAACGUGUCGUUACAAUUAUGUUACACGAUAGGUUUCCAACAGAAGUCUUCAGCAGACAGACUGUACCUAGGCUCAACAACCAAACGAUCAUGAGCCAUGGACCAGAAUCCAGCAACGACGGAGCCGUCCUAGUUCGUCCAGCGUUACACGAGGGAACCACAGUCGGGCACUAUGCAAUGUUGUGCAAGUCAUGUUUUCUCUUUUUGGUUCAGAUGACUGACUUUAAAGUAAGGUGAUUUAGUGUCACUGACAUAUAGAGCGUUUGGUCUGCGGCCCCACACGUCAAUGACUCUAAGUUACCUGACUUAAAGUUAGCGAAUUCCAACCCUUCUUCCACCAUCACACCAUGUUGCGUCACACCACAUUUUUGAAUCCCAAGGCAACAUUCAACGUCCAAAAUAUCAGGUCCAGUUGAGCCUAGGACCAAAAUUUACCGUCAGCAAAAUACAUUUUUACAUAACUUACAACUUGAGGGCAUCUCCAAAGCUAACCCCUAAAGUAGACACAUCGAUGCGGGAGCGGACCAUCCAAUCAUGCAUCCUAAAUGUUCAUUCAUGCAUAUGCAUGUCCCGGUUGAGAAGAGAGAGGGGAUAUCCGGAUGUCCGACGUGAUGACUUUGAAGGAAAUAUGCCCUAGAGGCAAUAAUAAAGUUAUUAUUUAUAUUUCAUUAUAUCAUGAUAAAUGUUUAUUAUUCGUGCUAGAAUUGUAUUAACCGGAAACUUAGUACAUGUGUGAAUACAUAGACAAACACAGUGUCCCUAGUAUGCCUCUACUAGACUAGCUCGUUAAUCAAAGAUGGUUAAGUUUUCUAACCGUAGACAUGUGUUUUCUUUUGAUGAACAGGAUCACAUCAUUAGAGAAUGAUGUGAUGGACAAGACCCAUCCGUUAGUUAUUGCUUUCCUCAUGACUUAAUGACUUAUACAUGUUCCUAUGACUUAUACAUGUUCCUAUGAUCGUUUAGUUUAUUGCUAUUGCUUUCUUCAUGACUUAUACAUGUUCCUAUGUCUAUGAGAUUAUGCAACUCCCGAACACCGGAGGAAGACUUAGUGUGCUAUCAAACGUCACAACGUAACUGGGUGAUUAUAAAGAUGCUCUACAUGUGUCUCCGAUGGUGUUUGUUGAGUUGGCAUAGAUCGAGAUUAGGAUUUGUCACUCCGAUCGUCGGAGAGGUAUCUCUGGGCCCUCUCGGUAAUGCACAUCACUAUAAGCCUUGCAAGCAAUGUGACUAAUGAGUUAGUUACGAGAUGACGCAUUACGGAAUGAGUAAAGAGACUUGCCGGUAACGAGAUUGAACUAGGUAUGAUGAUACCGACAAUCGAAUCUCGGGCAAGUAACGUACCGAUGACAAAGGAAACAAUGUAUGUUGUUAUGCGGUUUGACCGAUAAAGAUCUUCGUAGAAUAUGUAGGAGCCAAUAUGAGCAUCUAGGUUCUGCUAUUGGUUAUUGACCGGAGAUAUGUCUCGGUCAUGUCUACAUAGUAACUUCGGUCAUCAAAUCAAAUCAAAUCAAAUGGUCGAGACGUGCCGGAGAGUUACCCACAUGCUCAUAUGUAGGAGCCAAUUCGCACGCUUAACGUUCGAUGACGAUUUAUAUUAUGAGUUAUUUGAUUUGAUGACCGAAGUUUGUUCAGAGCCCCAGAUGAGAUCACAGACAUGACGAGGAGUCUCGAAAUGGUCGAGACGUAAAGAUCGAUAUAUUGGAAGGCUAUAUUCGGACAUUGGAAAGGUUCUGAGUGGUUCGGGUAUUUUUUCGAGUACCGGAGAGUUACGGGAAUUCGUCGGGGAAGUAUUGGGCCUUCAUGUGCCUUAGUGGAAAGGAGAGAAAGGCCGCAAAGGGAGGCCGCACCCCCCCAUGGGCUGGUCCAAAUUGGACUAGGGAGGGGGCGGCGCCCCCCUCUUUCCUUCCCCCUCUCCUCUCCUUCCUUCUUCUCCUACUUGGACUAGGAAAGGGGGAAACCUACUCCUACUAGUAGUAGGAAUCCCCCCUUGGGCGCGCCCCUUGUGGCCGGCCCUCCUCCUCCUCCCCUCCUUUAUAUACGGGGUAGGGGCACCCCAUAGACACACAAGUUGAUCUUAGCCGUGUGCGGUGCCUCCCUCCACAGAUUUCCACCUCAAUCAUAUUGUCGUAGUGCUUAGGCGAAGCCCUGCAUCGGUAACUUCAUCAUCACCAUCAAUACGCCGUCGUGCUGGCGAAAUUCUCCCUCGGCCUCAGCUGGAUUGAGGAAGUCCUGGAUUAGGGGGUCUCCGGACAGCCGGACUAUAUCCUUUGACCGGACUGUUGGACUAUGAAGAUACAAGAUUGAAGACUUCGUCCAGUGUCCGGAUGGAACUCUCCUUGGCAUGGAAGGCAAGCUAGGAAAUACAGAUAUGUAGAUCUCCUCCCUUGUAACCAACUCUAUGUAACCCUAGCCCCCUCCAGUGUCUAUAUAAACUGAAGGGUUUAGUCCGUAGGACAACAGACGAUCAUACCAUAGGCUAGCUUCUAGGGUUUAGCCUCUACGAUCUCGUGGUAGAUUAACUCUUGUAAUAAUCAUAUCAUCAAGAACAAUCAAGCAGGACGUAGGGUAUUACCUUCAUCAAGAGGGCCCGAACCUGGGUAAACAUCGUGUCCCCUGCCUCCUGUUACCAUCCACCUUAGACGCACAGUUCGGGACCCCGUACCCGAGAUCCACCGGUUUCGACACCGACAUUGGUGCGUUCAUUGAGAGUUCCACUGCAUCGUCAUCAUAAGGAGGGAUGGCUCGUCUCUUUGUCAAGGACAACAUCACCUCUGGGGGAGCCCUGGUGUAGGCCAAACUCUCCGAAUAGGCGGCUUCGUCAUGACCGCCCGCUCAGCCGCUGCGCCGACGAUGACUUCUCGGGUCAUCAAAAAUAGCCUCCACACCGGCUCGAAAUUCGCCGAGCAGAUGGAUCCAAUGGAGCUCUCCUCUUUGAACGAGCUCUUGAAUCGCAUCAUCGCUCUAGGAGUCGCUACGGACUACGAUCGGAUCAGGCUUAAACCCGACCAAAGGGAGAUUAACUCUUCGCCGGUCACCCAUCAGAUAGCGGUGGUGGAGGAGCAAUGAAGCGAUUCUCCCUCUAUCCUGAGGACGAACUAUGUCCGGAUUCCCGAGCUCUCCGAGACGGAUACCCGCUCACGGGAGGACAUCGCCCUAGCCCUGAACCUAGAAUCAGGUCGCAUACCUAACCGGCGGGGCAACAUCCCGAAGCCCGAACUUCCAAGAUCAAAAACUCCCCUGCCCCAGGAUCUCAGAUUGGGUCAAGGUCUGGACUUAAAUCCACCCACCCACCCAGAUCUUUCCCACAUUAGGCAAGCGCCCCAAGAGACAGUACAUCACUAUUGGGCCAGAUUCCUCCUUGUAAUGAACAAGGUCAAGGACUGUCGCGAGGAAGACGCAAUUUCGUUCUUUUGCAACAAUUGCACGGAAAAGGAAAUCCUCAACACCAUAAGUCGCCGUGACAUAGCACACUUUGCUGACUUGGCGGCCAUAGUACGGAAAUACUGUGCGAUGGAAAGCGCCUGGAAAACCCAAACACAAUUUUGGGAUAAUCCGACUCUGACAAAACCCCCAGUCUGAACUAAAAGGGUGCACUCUCAUAAGUCGCCCGACUCAAUUACAAAGAAGCAAAAGCCCACUACAGGGCGUGGAACCGUAUUGGAGCGAUGGCUUAACGGGCCCUGCAAAAUUCAUAGUACAACAGAUACCAUAUCAACACAUAGCCUUAGAGCAUGUUGGGUACUCCGGCAGGUGGCCAAGAGAGGUGAGGAUAUCCUCAUCCAAAAUACCUCAGAACACCUUCCUGUGGAUAACAAUACGGUAUUGACGGUCUUCGAAACCUUCGCCUCAAAUAAUAGGCGUAAGCAAACACUCUGCAGCCUUGCCGAAGUCUGCCACGUGGCAGCAAUAAAUCCAUGGAGCGACACGGCUAUCACCUCCAAUGCCAGUGACGAACCUAAAUUCCGAACAGCCCGAGCACCAUCCGCUUUGGUCCUCAGUCCAAUUGUGGACGACUUUCGGCUCACUAAAGUGCUCAUGGACGACGGCAACGGAUUAAACCUCAUUUAUGAGGAGACUCUUCAAAAAAUGGAAAUAGACAGCAACCGUAUUGAGCAAAGCAGCAUGACCUUCCUAGGAAUCAUCCCAAGUCGGGAGGCACGUUGCGCUGGGAAAAUCACACUAGAUGUGGUAUUCGUCACUCCGGAGAAUUACAGGUCCGAAGAAAUCACAUUUCAAGUGGCCUCGUUCAGCAACGGAUACCACGUCCUUCUAGGGCGGGAGGCAUUCACGAUUUUUCAAGCCAUACCCCAUUACGGGUACAUGAAGCUCAAAAUGCCCGGACCCAAUGGAAUCAUCACUCUAGCUAGUGAUCCGGACAUACACUACAAAAAAAAGACACAUCCGUGACAUUUUGUGCCGAACGAAAUUUUUUUCUAUCAUAUAUAUGACACUUCUAUGACGAUAAUUGUGACAAAACCCGGUAUCAUCAUAGAUGUGGUGGGCUCCUACUUCUAUGACAAAAAAUCAUGACAGAAAAUGCGCUUUUCGUCCUAGGCGGGCCGGAGACGCAGCUACAUGACAUUUUUUGGGUCGUCCAUGAUGGAAAAAACCAUGGUAGAAGCGAGGGGGAGGAAAAUUUCGGGGAGUUCCCGGUUACGGUGGGAGGUCGGGGGCCGAGCGAUGCGCGUUUCUCUCGUACACGUACGCAUGUGUGUGCGAGGCGUUGGCUCUAACUGAACCCGAGCGAGGCGUUGGGCUCUAAUUAACUGAACCCGAGCGAUUGCACUACAGGCUACGCAUUACUGAACCCGAGCGAUCGAUCGAUGGAUGUUAACUGAACUCGAUCGAGUGAUUUCUUCGCUACUGCUGCUAGAUAAAGCCGAUCGAUGCUGCCUCUGGGAUGAACAGUGAGCGUUGCCGAGGGGGUUGGAUGAACAUUGAGCGGUGGCGUUGCCUCUGGAUGAACAGGACCCCAUGGUGUGGUGGAGGGCUGGAUGAACAGCAGACGGUGAAGGGGUGCCCGUGGAGGGUGGUUGAACAGGACCCCGUGGUGUGGAGGGAUGGAUGAACAGUAGACGGUGGAGGGGUGGUUGAACAGUAGCCGGUGGAGUAGCGCGCGGUGGAGGCUGAAUGAACAGGAGCCCGUGGAGGCUGGAGGAGGUCACGGUGGAGAUGAACAGUAUCCCGUGGAGUCCCGUUUUGCGGUACGCCGCACCCCUCCCGAUGAACAGGACCCCCGUUUUGACCGUAGGAGGUCCGUUUCGUCUGUUUUGCGGUACGCCACAACCCUCCCGAUCAACAAAACCCCCGUUUCGACCGUAGGAGGUCCGUUUCCUCCGUUUCGCGGUACGCCAGACCUCUCCCGAUCAACAGGACCCCGUUCCGAACAUAGGAGGUCCGUUUCCUCCGUUGUGCGGUACGCCAGGCCUCGUUUCCAUUGCCUAUUUCGUCCAAGCCCUCCCGAUGAACACGACCACACAUUUCGUUCCGCCCCAGCCGGUUGGCUCCCACGCGUUCCGUUGCCUCCCGGUGAACACGAGCAUUCCGUUGCCUCCCCAUGAACACGACGCAUUCCGUUGCCUCCCCAUGAACAUGACGACAACGCUGUUUCUCCGUUCCGACCCAGCCAUGUACACGAGCCCUGGCCGUACGUAUGCGCGAGUAGGCGUUCGAGACCCCGCCCGUAUGUACACAUACGUGGCCGUAUUUUCUCUCUUGCACCCUGGCCGUUGUACGUACGUGUACAUGCUACGUGCGCGCCUCUACUACGACACGUGCGUGCCUCUACAUCCACCAGUAUAUAUGUACGUACACGUUCGCGACCAGAAUGACAAUGCUACGUAUGCUUUGACCAGUUGGGUCCCGACUGUCAGGCACUUCCUUGCCUGCGAAGAUGUAGCUGGUGGGUCCCAGCAGUCAGGGGGGCGAGUCAUUUUUUUUGCCCAGACGCACUUCCUUGCGUGCGAAGAUGUGGCUCGUGGGUCCCAGCAGUCAGGGGGAAACAUUUUUUUUUUCGCGAAAUACAGUGGCCCGUCCGGUGGGUCCCAGCUGCCAGGUGGAGGAAUCAUUAUUUUCCGCGUAAUGAGGAGGCACUUCCUUGCUGCGGUCGUGGACCCAUCUGUCAGCCUCUCCACGUACAGUCCACGUCCAAUGGAAGUCGUUCCUUGACCACGUUGACCACGUCACGCCGAGAGCAGUAGGGCGAUGGACGACGGCGAGGACUAGGAAGGGGACGACGGGGAGCCGGGGAAGACGCGACAGUGGAAGCCCGCGUGGAGAGGAGUACGAGGGUUCACUGGUUCGGCUACGGUGUGAGGCUGCCGUCACCGCAGGGCCUGGCCAGCGGAGGGAAUAGUAGGGGGCGAUGAGGCCUCCGAGGCAGCAUAGCCGGCCACGGGAGGCAGGAGCAUGCGGCACGACCGGUGCUGCUUUGGGCGGCUGGAGCAAGAAGACCAGAGGUUGAAGAAGCACUACGGCCGUUGGAUGGACAUCGUACGGUCACUGGAGCUAGAAUCGUAUAUAUUGACUAAGUUGACAAAGCCCUCCGUCCCCGUCAACUUAGUAGGCCCACAAGUCAGCCUCCCACCAAGGUGGGUCCCAACUAGAAGGGGGGUAUUCAUUUUUUUGUUCGUAAUAAGGAGGCACUUCCGGUGGGUCCAAGCUGACAGCAGGGGGAACAUUUUUUUUUGUGAAAUACGGUGGCCCUCGGGUGGGUCCCAGCAGUCAGGGGCAAACGUUUUUUUUCGUGAAAUACUAGUGGGCGUCUGGUGGGUUCCUGCUGUCAGGUGGAGGAAUAAUUAUUUUCUGCGUAAUAAGGAGGCACUUCCUUGCGGCUGCCAUGGACCCAUCUGUCAGCCUCUCCACGUACAGUAUUCUUUCGGUGGAAUUCGGCCGUUGACCACAUUGACCACGCCGCGCCGAGAGCACCACGGCGAUGGACGACGGCGAGGCCUAGGAAGGGGAUGACGCGGAGUCGGGGAAGACGCGGCAGUGGAUGCCCACGCCGAGAGGAGUACGAGGGUUCACUGGUUCGGCUGCGCUGCCGUCGCCGCAGAAUAACAGGGGUGUGGGUGAGUGGAGUGGAGGGAUGGCCUGACCAGCGGUGGGAGUAGUAUGGAGGCGGUGAGGCCUCCGCGGCAGCACAGCCGGCCACGGGAGGCAGGAGCAGGCGGCACGACCGAUGCUGCUUUGGGCGGCUGGAGCAAGAAGACCAGAGGUUGAAGAAGCACUACGGCCGUUGGAUGGACAUCGUACGGUCAGUCGAGCUAGAAUCGUGCAUAUUGACUAAGUUGACAAAGCCCUUCAUCCCUGUCAACUUAGUAGGCCCACAGCUUGGAUUUGGCAGAGAACAUAUAGCCCAUUUGCGAUUUGUAAGAAUGUACAAAUCAUUUUUUAAUUCUAAUGAAAUUUACUACACCCCAUUUACAGUUUGUUAAAAGUAUAGCCCAACUUCUAGCUAGGACAACGAUUAAUAAGUUUAAACAACCGCUCAAAACAGAAUUCAAAAAAAAAUCCCACAUUUUGAUGGGAUCCGAAAUAUUUUUAUCCGAAAUUUCUAGUCAAGUCAAAUAUAAUUUCAAAAUAAAGUUGUAUUAUGUUAAAAUCCAACGAAAUAUUGCGCGCGCAACAAGUAAUGAAAUUUAAAAUUCCAAAUUCCAAAAAUAAUAUAUUUUUCAAACUAAUUACGUGUUUGGUGCAUAGUAACUGUCUAGUUAUUAUAAUUACAUCCUAUUUAUUAUUUCUUAAAGUCCAUUUUCUUGUUAAGCCUAAUGCAUACCUCCUAGGAAAGUUUGCAGCCCAGCGGGGCAGAGAAUAACAAGUUGACCCGGAUAUUGUGUACAACUGUCGGCCCAGUUGCAUUGCUGAUGUUGAAAAAAGGCCUGUGUAGUACAGUACAACCUAACAUGGUUACUCAGCCUACAUUCAGCGACGCCGGAAAGGCCCAAACAAGACUUCUGUACAACUUUUUGAAGUCACUAAGUUCAAUUAAUAACUUAAGAAAAAAGUUAGAUUACAGUGGAAUCUAAUUAAAAGUUGUCAUGAGCAAAUAAAUAAUUCAACAGGUCCCACUUGUGCGUCUGCGUGCGCGCGCGCGCGCGCGUGUGUGUGUGUGAGAGAGAGAGAGAGAGAGAUAGAGAGAGACCCAUCGGUCGAUGCUCGUAAAUACAUCUUUCAGCCAUAUGCAUUGCUGAUGCUCAGUAAAAACUUAUAUAGUUGACACAAUCAUAUAGAACAUCAUAGCACACUGAAAUUGCAUAUAAAAAUUUCACGCAGGCGACACAAUCAGGAUGGAAGCAGUGGAUCGCUAUGGGAAGGGCUAUGUUGAAACCAACGAAGUUGUACAUAACGGUUCAUCGUCUUUAUCAAUGACGGGGAAAUAUCUUGAAUGUUGUGUAAAAAAAACAGACAGACAACACCAUAAGUUCUGCUAGCACAUUAAGUUGACGUAUAACCCUUUCUAAAAAAAGUUCAGGUACAAAAUUAGAACAGGUCACAAUCAAAUGUACUGGCAUAUCAGUGUUUCACACCCAUAGCUCGGAUUUAACUAGUACUCCCUCCGUCCGGGAAAAGUUGACCACCGUGCAGUGUAUUUGUUUUUUCGCAAAAAAACCCACAGAGUUUUAAACAUGUCACAAAGAAGUCCAUCUCCUUCCUUCCUCCUCCCCCGUCGCCCGCGCCUUGCAGCCAUCACCGGCUACCCACCUGCGCCGCCGCCCGCCUAGAUCUGCGCCGCGACCAACACCAGAACCGUGGUCCAGCCCGCGACCAACAACAGCACCGCCGCCUGCUUGCACCUGUGUCGCGGCUUACCACCUGCAUCGCCCGCCGUGAAGGCGACCUGCAUCGGCGCCCUCCUCGAGCUACGCCGCCGGCCCCGUUGAAGGUCGCCGCCCAUGUUCGCCCACCUUCGCCGCCCACCUGCGCCUCCGAUUUCGUCCGCUUCGGCCACCGGCGCCGUGGACAAUUCCGGCCACUCCCGCCUCUCAUGCUGCUACUAGUGGACGACGCCGGUGUCGUGGACCUCUGAUGCUGCUUUUGCCUUUCCCCCUGCCUCGCCUCUGCUGCCACUCCCGCCUGUGCUGGUGAGUCUUCCCCGCCCGCCUCUGCUACUGCUGUUGUUCAAUUUGUUGCCGUGAGUCUGAAUUUGCUGUUCUCAGUGCAGGCGGAGAAAAUUCAGUCAGGGGAUACAAAGCUAGAGAAAUAAUCCAGGUCAAAGGUUGUACACUGCUGCUAAAUGAUGAACAUAUUAUAGUGAAAAUUUAGUUUGAUGCCAUCAAAUUCAUUGAGUAAUACUCUUGGCAUUCUUGGAGAUCUGCUAGUUUUUAGAAGUUUUUCUUGCUACAGUUAACUGAAAAUGUUCGGUGUUCCAAUACUGUAGAGAAACUACAGUGCCUGUAAUUCAGUUAUGACUCCUUUACUGAAAUUGUAGUGUUUGCUAAAACCGAGGUGUAAACUAAAAGAGUUUGUGAUUUGCAGAAGCUGUAGCAUACUCCAACAAGUGAUAAAUGCACUCAAAAGUUCACUGAGAAAAUGCAGAGGCUGCUCACUUGUUACUGAAAGUUUUCUGGAGUGAUAAAUGCACGCAAAGAAGUUCAGUUAACUGUUACUGUUGCUAUAUGAAUUCCAACCAGGUCAAUUUGUUGUCAAUUACUCUGUAAUACUCAACCAGGUUUAUGCAAAAUGAACAACAACCAUGUUUAUUUGGAUUUAUUUGAACCAUUUGAAUUUAUUUGCUUUAUUUGGAUUUAUACACCAUUUGUCCAAUUGCAAACAUACCUAAAGUUUCCAAUUGUCCAAUUUCAGUCAUUCAUUUUAAAGAGAGCUAAGCAUAGCCAUGACUCUUCCCUAAAUAUUCCUGUAGAAUCAAUUCAAGCAGCACAAAACUGAAAACUGAAAACUGCCACAACCCGAGUUGAUAAAAACAUGUCCCUAAAAUUGGAAUUAUUUGAAUUAGCUAGGUUUAUUCUUCUUCAUAUACAGAAAAAGAUGAAUAUUGUUCGUCUACUAGUUACUUCAAAUUUUAGAACUGAAUAAACACUUGUCAUCUUCAGUAAACACUUGUAAAUCUAGAGUGGUUUUAAACUUAGAAUGCACCAAGUACUAAUAUCCUUUGCCAGGCUACACACCAUCUACUUGGAGUAGACAACAAGAUUCACAGAGACAUGCACGCUUCAAUAGACUUGUGAAUGCUAGCAAAGUGAUAAGUAAAAACUUGAUGUUCUUAGAAAUAUUGCACCAGAGGACAUUAAGUGAACUGGCGUGUAUGCUAAAGGCAAGGAAAUGCCACCUUAUUUUCUUCUUCAAGCAGUUGAUGAACUAGCCUGUAUGCUGCAGCUACACAUAGGUUCUGCAGAAAAUGCACCAAAAGAGUUACACACAUGUGAAGUAAGUGGAAAGCAACAUUUAAUCUCCACUUCUUUUUUUUUGGUAGUGAAAUUCAAUCUGAAUUUUGUAAACACAGAAAAUGCACCAAUACUAAACAUUUAUUCCCACCUCCACCACCAUCUUGUCAGUUUCGACAGUGUGUGUAUGGAGUAGUUUUGACGGCAGUAUAAUUGUGCAUCAUGUAAACAUUAUGAGAAUGAUUAAGGGUUCAGCAAUCAGAUUAUAAUUAUGACCAGAACAGAGGAACAAAUACCAUGGUUAGUUUUAUGUAAAAAAAUCAGAAAUGGAGUUACUCACUUGAAGUUACUAUAGUUACUCACUUGAACUUAUUGUAGUAGUGGCCAAAAUUCAGAAAAGUUACUAAACAGCAGAAGUAGUGGCCAAAAUUCAAAGUACUAAAAAGAUUCUACACUAAAUAUACAGUGUUAUCCAUGUUCUGUAUCCAGGACAUUUUUUAUCUGUUUGCAUGCAUAGGUCCCACCUAUCAGGAAGGAUGGGCACGUACACGAACAUGUACGACUCAUCAGUCUACCCGCAUAGCCUUUUCGUUUAGUCUACCUAGCCGUCUAAUCAACUGCCUACACACCACUUCUCCCAUUUACUUCUCCAUCGGGAACCGAUUCUCCUCGGCUUCUUCACCUCUCCUUCGUCUUCAUUUGCAUCCAAACCCCACUGCGUUCACAUUGUUUUAACCUAUUUAAAUAAUCAUCUACUACUUAAGUUAGACUAGCCAUCUAAUCCUAAUUCUCCAAACCAUAGCCCUCCGUUCCAGCAGUUCCAAAUGGCGGAAGAGAUCGAGAUGCAGGUUUUUAGCGUCCAACAUGUCAUCGUCGAAGGCUCGAUGCGCAUAGUUGCCACCGUCACCGUCCACCCAAGGGUUGUUCGGCAGUGGAUCAACAAUGUAUCCAACUCCCUCGAAAAGGUAGUGACGAGGGUCAUCGGUCUCGAUGCAGAGUACACGGAGCGUGCCCUUGGGAAGAUCCAGUGCGCCGCCGUCCUUCAACUGUGCCACGAAGAUGAUGUUUUGGUGUACCACAUCAUAAAAUCGCCCUCCAUACCAUGCGAGCUUCACGAUUUCUUGUCUCGGGAGGACGUAUACUUCUGUGGGGCAGCCAAUGAAAGGGGACAAAUAGAAGCUGAAGCCGUACAACCUUGAUUUGAAAAGCAUCGCUGACCUACAAACCAGAAUCAAAAUUCAUGUAGAAGUUUGUGAUAAACAGACACCAUCCCUAUUCGACGUAGCAAAUUUUGUGCUUGGUACGAAUCUUCAGAAGGGUGAUGAGAUGGUGGAAUUAAGGUCGUCUGGAUGGGAGAAUUAUCCCUUGACGUACGAGCGGAUAAAAUAUGCUUCCCUCGAUGCCCGUGUGAGUUUCGAGAUAGCUGCAAGGUCCAAAGAGCUUGUUGUGAAGCCGCCUCCCACAGAGAAUGAGAACAAGAAGAAGAAGAAGAAAAGGCUGCACCAGCAGGAGGGCAUUAUGGAUGGAUGAACUAUUUCCUCUCUUGUAAAAAAAAUUAUUCCCUCUCGGUGUAUAUUGAUAUAGAUGGACUAUUUCGAUGGUGUGCAUGUCUUUGGAACAGAGUAGUAGCGUGGGUCCGCUUGACUAUAAGGAACUAUUUAUCCGCAUAUAUAGCUUUCUCUGCUACUCCUUCUAGUGAUUGGUAUGCAGUGCAUGUGUCCGUAGACAUGACAGCUUGUGUGCAUGACAUGUGGGCCACCUAAAAUGCGGCGAGCAUCAAGUUUCUACCACAGCCACCCGCGAUUCCCACGACGCCGCUCGAACCCAUGAAACCACACAUCCCCCGACCUGCAGCUCACCCCUCUUGGCCCCACUGCCCCUCUGCCUAAGGGAGCAUUACAUGUGGACCAGUCACCUAUCGGGUCCACGUGUUAUUGACUCAAAGGUAGGUGCAAUGGAUCCAAAGUAUUAGAAUAAUACUUGUUCACGUGCUUGAAAUAUAAACACUCUAGUUUUGAUAUACAUGUGUCAGCAGACAUGACAACUUGUCCAUGGAAGUUGAACCACGGCGACCAUCACGUUUCUUGUUUCUACCACUGCCACACCCACAUGCGAUUCCCACGACGCCGCUCCAACCCAUGGCACGACGUCCCCCGACGUGGACAUGGAUCCUCUGACGUGGCUAUCACUGCCUUGCCCUGCCUUUCCUUCGCUGACAGGUGGGACCCAUGCUUAUGGGUCCCACAUGUCAGUGACAGAAUGGUAGGAUUGUUCGCGUCAGGGGAUCCUCAUCCCCCCAACGUGCCCCUCAUCCCUCUCGGCCCCACCGCUCCUCUGCCUUUGUGUGCAUGACAUGCAGGUCAGCUGAACUGCGGCGACCAUCAACUUUCUACCACAGACACACUCAAUUGGACGCGGUUUGCCUGCUCCACUGCCGUGCUCUGAUCCGUACUCCCGCACCAUUGAAUUUUCAUCCAGCGGCUGUGACACAUUUAGUACCCGCCGGUGUGGCCAUCUACGCCUCAUAACGCCCCGACGCCCAGCUGUGGCACCCUCGCCACGACCACGCCACCACCGGCCGGUUCAUCUCGAACGAGUGAGUCGUGAACCACGCCACCACCAUGAGAAUGACAUGUGGGCCAGCUGCAUUUAAGGUCCGCAUGUCAUUGACUCAUAGGCCGGUCACUAAAGCCAUUGAAGUUCGGUCUCGUGGGCCCCGAGAGGGAAAUGUAACUCCUGUGGUAGGCCUUGUGGUGCUCCCGCAGUACGAGCCCGUGCCAAAACUGGAAUUUGUUUCUUACUACUACCAACUAGUACUAGUAAGGUACACAUGCAUUGCACGCAUGCGAUUCUGGUGGUUUGUGCAUUAUGCUUCUACAUGUGGAGCUUUCUAGAUUCUAACAUGUGGCAAAAUCUGGUGGAAUGUAAGGUUAGGAAAGUUUGAUUAACUUUGGUGAGUGUUUGGUUCAAGCCACACCUUAGGAAAGCCACACUAAGGCCCCACAUGACACACACACAAAAAAUGUGGCAAGAUUCCCUUAGGCUUGCCAACUUGUUUCUCUCGUUUUGAAGAACUAAUAACUUUGCCUAAGCUUAGUUGUGACGUGCACGUACCUACUAUUAGUUGUAUAGUGGUAGUACUAGUAAUAUAGUAUUAGGAGUACAAACUUGGUACUAGUAGGAGUAGUACUAGUACGGAAUGCUCCUACUCUAUCAACAAGCCCCGUCUGACACCAAAUUUCUUGGCUUCCGUGCUACAACUAGAUCUUCCCCUCGUUUCUGUUUUCCAACCCGGCGGCGGGCGAGGUGUCGGUUUGCUCAACAGCGGUCCCACAUGAAAGUGAAAAUGCUAGGCAACUCGCCUUCCCUAAGCUAUGUGUCAUGCCGGACGGGCCGUGUUGUACUCCCGAUUCCUGGGCGUGUGGGGGUGCGACGCGAAAGUGGCAGGCCUUUUCCUUUUACCAGCAAUGUGCCCAUGCGUUGCGACGGAUCCAAAGUAGUAGAAUAGUAGUAUUUGUUCACAAACUUGAAAGAAAUCACUAUUGUUUUGAUAUACUCCUAAUAUAUUACUCCCUCCGUACCUAAAUAUUUGUCUUUUUGAGAUUUCAAAUGGACUAUCACAUAAGGAUUAUAUAGACAUAUUCUAAUGUUUCUAGCAAGAUGCCCGCACGUUGCACGAAGUUAAUGGAAAAGGUAAGCACAACUUAUAAAUUGACGGAUGGAGUACUACUUACAGUGAUGCAUAUAAUUAAGCAAAGGGAUCACACAUGUUGGUAUUGACUGGAACGAGAAUGCAACAGGACAAUAAGAAUUAAGGCCUCGAUGAUGCGAUCACAGUGGUGGUUACAGAAGGCAAGAAGAAAGAUGGAUCCACGAACGUACGACCUCCUCCUCCUCAACUUAGUGCGUCGGGCCACCGACCGGCGGCUAAGGAGCGACGACUUUUGUGGCGAGGUCGAGGUGCUUCUCAGCAAAGGAAUCCAAGGCUUCCAGCCGGUUGAGGAAGGCCAAUGUCGUAGCGUCCUCACUGGCCUUGUAGGUACCUAUGUACACGAUUUCCUCGUACAUGUGGAUGUGUAGCUCGACGAAUUCUUGCAGGGUGAGGCGCCUCGCGGCGAGCGCGACCUUCAGGUGGACAUUCUUCGUGGCAUCGGCGGGCAGUCGCAGGGCCACCAGUGCUUGAAAGAGGUUCCGGCCAUGGACGCCUAUUAGGGUGGCAGGGAAUGAGGAGCCCGGGCGCGCGGGCUGGAGGAGUACGGCGAUGUCGUCCGCGAGCUUCUUGAGGACGGUGAACUUGUUGCUGGUGGCAACGAUCAUCUGGUCCAACUAAGAGUCGUAGUUGGCGUCGAAGGCGGCCAUCCACCAGCCGGUCUCCAACACCGUCUGGAGACGAUCCUCGGCGCCAUGCCGCAGGCCGGCGUCGUGGACCAUCUGGCGCAGCCGCUGGCCGCUCACGAGCAUCGCCGCCAUGGGUCUGGAGUGAGAUCUUUUACGCUUAGUGCAGGUGCUUAGGCAAAUGCUUAGGUGCGUACGAUGUGGUAGAUGCAUUGGAAUGGAGGGGUGCCUUUAUAUGAGGGCAAACUGCGUUGCAUUCACUUCGUGCAGCCUCUUUUCCCAGACCUCCUCCCAUUACUUCCCUCAUGCAUUAAUUUAAGGAGGAUGCAUUGGCCGUUCAACAUAUCGGGAACCGCUACUCCCUCCCUCGUCUGCAUUAAAGCCGUAUCGGGAACUGCGCCGCCCGCUGUCAAAUCGAAUACUCCCUCCGUCUAGGUGAGUAUUAAGUCAUCUUACAAAAACCAAAUAUUAGUAAACACACAGGUGUGGUGCAUUAACUCUCACGUUGUUUCUUAUUUUUUGACACUAAUAGAGGAAUCAACCAAGCAGAGAUGUGGGGCUUGUAUGCUUUUAAUGACUUGAGGUUAUCAAACAUGACAUGCAGUGGUCAGUUCGUUGCACAAUAACAAAUACAACCCAUGUCAGCACACACGCAUCUUAUAUAGCAUCACAUCCAAUGGCUAUAAAAGAUGAAUGAUACCAAAUUAUAUCUCAUCUAUAUGAGUUCUAGCAAAACUAUAUUAAUAAUACUUAGUACUCCUGUGCCAUGUAUCAUAUAUUAGUAUCAUGUAGUACUUUAUUUAUUUAUGAGGUAUCCAGAUGGCACUGCACCGCCAAGAAAAGAGGGUAACAUCAAAAUUAUGGAGUACUUUUUUGAGCAUGUUGGUAAGUGUCGGUGUCAAAACCGGCGGAUCUCGGGUAGGGGGUCCCGAACUGUGCGUCUAAGGCGGAAGGUAACAGGAGGCAGGGGACCCAAUGUUUUACCCAGGUUCGGGCCCUCUUGAUGAAGGUAAAACCCUACGUCCUACUUGAUUUAUUCUUGAUGAUAUGAGUAUUACAAGAGUUGAUAUACCACGAGAUCGGAGAGGCUAAACCCUAGAAGCUAGCCUAUAGUAUGAUUGUAUGUUGUCCUACAGACUAAAACCCUCUGGUUUAUAUAGACACCGGAGGGGGCUAGGGUUACACAAGGUCGGUUACAAAGGAGGAGAGAUACAUAUCCGUAUUGCCUAGCUUGCCUUCCACGCCAAGUAGAGUCCCAUCCGGACACGAGACGAAGUCUUCAAUCUUGCAUCUUCAUAGUCUAACAGUCCGGCCAAAGGAUAUAGUCCAGCUGUCCGGAGACCCCCUAAUCCAGGACUCCCUUAGUAGCCCCUGAACCAGGCUUCAAUGACGAUGAGUCCGGCGUGCAGUAUUGUCUUCGGCAUUGCAAGGCGGGUUCCUCCUCCGCAUACACCACGGAAGAAUUUGAAUACAAGGAUAGUGUCCGACCCUGCAAAAAUAAGUUCCACAUACCGUUGUAGAGAGAAUAAUCUGCUGACACGUUUUGGCAACAUGACAUUAUGCCAUGACCCAGUGAUUAUUCGAACCGUUUCCUUUAACUAGCCCUGCACAUAAUGCGAGGCAGUUUUUUGACACAUCUUGUCAAAGCAGAUAUCGUGUCCCCCUUAUUACGGGAUUCUCAUCAAUACGGGUGUGGGUAACCCAACCACGCCAUCGGUUACGGCGCUUGGGGGAUAAGCGAGUUUUACCAGGCUAGUUUGGCACAGAGUUUCGGCCGCCCUUAUAAAGGGACAAGGUUUAACCUUUUUCUACCCACGCCUUCUUCCUCCUUGCUCAUCGACUCUUGCACACUCAAGCUCCAAUGCCCAAGCCCACAUCCUUCCCCUCAACCUUCUCCAAUCAUGUCCAGAGCGGGAGGGAAAUGGAUGGCUUCCUCCGUUACGGAGGGACACAUCAAGAAGCUGCGCGGAGCCGGAUACUUGGCCACGAAUAUCGCGCAUUGGCUGCCCGCUGUGGGGCAGAUCAUUCCUACCCCUGAACCUCACGAGAGGGUAGUCUUCCUCCACCACUUCCUCCGCGGAUUGGGGUUUCCCCUCCAUCCAUUCGUCUGUGGUCUCAUGUUCUACUACGGGCUGGACUUCCAUGAUCUGGUCCCGAACUUCGUCCUCAACAUUUCAGCAUUCAUUGUCGUGUGUGAGGCUUUCCUCCGCAUCCGGCCCCACUUCGGCCUGUGGUUAAAGACCUUCAAUAUCCGGCCCCACUUCGUAAGUAUUCGGAUGCCAGAGUAACUCAUAGCAUACCUUUGUCACACUGCCUCUCCUAACGUCGAAUUAUGACUAUGCAGACCGCCACAAGCCAGUAUCGACGUAUCGUCGGACGGCUCCCUGGGCUCGUCGGAUAUGGAUAGCGAUCCACUUCUGACCGCCACCUCCCCUUGCUCUACGGACAACGCCGAGGUAUUGUCUCAAGAGGCACCGGGUCGAGGGGAUACAGUCCCGGAGGCGCCUCAAGGUGACCUUCCGGGCUCCGGGAGCAGAGGGAGCAAGGCUCCCGAGGGCUCCGAGUUCGGCCCUCAGCCGAACACCGCAUCGGAACCCCCAGUGGUUCCGGACUCGGGCAGGCGGCCUCCUUCCAAAAGGGGCAAGACGCCUGUGUCGGUGACCUCUGUCCAUCCAGAGGCAUCGGACAAUCUGCUGGGAGCGCUUCGCAGCGCUUCCAUUGACGAAGAGCACCACACUAUUAUGAGUGCGGUGGUCCAGAAGGUUCAGUCUGCCAAGAGCGGACUGACUGAAGCCUGUGCCAGCCUUCUAACAUGCUUUGAGGUAAGUUUUUGGAAUAUGGGGAAAAAUAUUACCACAUAGACAGUAGCCCCUGGUGCUCUGUUUGGUGUUCACAAAGAAAAGCCGAACAGAGGAUCAAACAAUAUCGCAGGAGUCUAAUAUAAGUAUGUCAAUAUGCGUAUGCAGGCUUCGCUGCUGGCCUCUGCCGCACUGACUGCGGAGGUCGCCGCACUGAAGCAGGACCUUAAAGGGUCCAAGGACGAUCUCGGCCUUGCCAAGAGGCAGCUCGAGGAGAACAAAGGUAAGUAGUACCUAGUAUAUGGAUAUGUAUAAAAAGAAUGCGAUUUGCAAAAUGACUGGAUCAUCGUAAAUUUGCCAGGGGCCACGACCGAGGUGGCGACCCUGAAGCAAGAGUUAUCCGAGGCCGAAAACAAAGCGGCCACGGAGCGCACCGAGCGGGAAAGGCAUGAGGCUCGGGUGGGCGAGGUGCAGCAAGAGCUCCACGCUCUCGUGACGAAGCACGAGGCGUUGGAGCUUGACUUGAAGACGCGAGAGUCUGAGCUUGCCGCGGCCCUCGAGAGCGCAAAGAGUGCCAAGGCUGAAGCCCAAAAGGCCCUCCAGGAGAUUGAUGCGAUGAAGAAGAUAGCGGCGGGUAAGGCAUUCUAUAUGCAAAGCAAGCAUGUGAAAGUAAAUUACCUGUUACUUACCCGAAUCCGGAGCUCUCCAGGAGCAUUCGCAGAUUUGCCCCGCAGCGUGUCGGAUGCCACACAGUUUUACCAGGCCGAGGAGGGAAGCUCAAUUGAGAAGCUAUUCUGGUCUCCAGGAGCAUUCGCAGAUUUGCCCCGCAGCGUGUCUCUGAGCGACCAACUGACGCAACUGGUCGAGCUGCACAAGGCGGCGGAACAGGCCAUGAAGGGCUUUAUAGUCCGAAUGUGGCCUGGCGACGCCCUUCCCAGCAGCUACUUCGGCAUGGUGAGGCGGCUUGUGGAUGCCUGCCCACGGCUGGAAGUCAUCAAGCGGUCCGUCUGCAUCGAAGGUGCACGUCGGGCUUUCGCCCGUGUGAAGGUGCAAUGGGCCAAGCUGGACGCCGUGAAGCUGAUUAAGGAACGGCCGCCGGAGGGCAAGGAGCAUCGCCACCCCGAGAUGUACUAUGAGGGUGUCCUAAAGGGUGCUCGUCUCGUAGCGGACGAGUGUACGAAAGAUAUAAUAUUCGAGUAAACUCGCUCGUGUAAUCCUGUAGUUAUGAAAACUUGUUCAUAUGCGCUAUGCAACGCUUGUUUGAAUUUAAAAUAUUACCUUCUGUUUGGCUGUUUAUCAAAUCUGAGAGAUGGCUAGUCAUCGGCUUCUGCGCCCACGCCACGAGUGCUGGGGUGUUCCGGAUAAACCUGAGCACUCUUGUUCCCAUUGUUGGGUCCUUCAAGGGAGGUGCUCAGCACAACGAACAAGGCAAUCAGACUAUAAUGCGUUAUCACUCUCACUUAGCCAUAUAAUUCUAUAAUUUUAAAUUUCGGCGAAGCCCCUACUAUUUGGAAGGCCGAGUUCAGGGCGCGAUACAUGCCUUAAGCUGGACAGGGCCGACUCCUCGCUCUAAGCGGCAUAAGCCUUUAGGGACUCGAAACCUCUCGAACAGCGACCGGUCUCUCGCCUUAUCAUGAUAGUCAGUUUUAGCUUUCUCUACUGAGGUGCUUAGCCUAGCAGAACCGGGGCACAAUUGCAGUAGUUCUCCCAUUGCUACCUUAGCCGAUAUAGCGGAACGUAAGGUACCAAAACAUGGGAGCCGGGCAAACCCAACUAUUGACCCAAGACAUGAUUCGGAGCUGAUGCAUAUAAUGCUAUAAGUUCGGGGUGCCGCACUGUCGAAAGUGUUCGGACUUCUCAUGUCGUAUUAUGGGGUAUGCUUAAGCCCCUAGCGUAUUGGCCGUACCAGAGUGUACGGGUGCUGGAUGUCAUAAAUGAACAUAUAUAUAAAUAUAUAUAAGAAUGCAAUAAUAGUCUUAAUGCUAUGCAUUUUUUAUUCAAAAAGGUGCGUUAAAGCAGAAUGAUACAAGUAGUGCGAUAAGCAAAAAGUAGGACUGUUUGACAUGUCCCUUCCAAGGGCAAGCUGAGGAAUAGUAUUAAAGCAAAUAUUUCACUCGUUAUCAUAAUCCACCUGGGAGUUCCGUGGUGUGACGUAGCUUUCUGCCUCCUUGGAUGCUGCAUCCUAUGUUCGGCAAUCACGCCGCCGGACAGGGUUUCCAGAGAUUGAAGUUCUGAAAGAGAAAAAUAACAAAGCAUGAAGCCCCUAGUGUGGUUUAAGCCGCGACUUGGGGCGUGCCGCCGUCGUGCCCCCCUCCCCGCCUGUGCCCAUUGUAUUUUUAAUGCGUAAUUAUGUACGCGUGGCAUGGAUUUCGCCAUUUGGCUGGGAUCGGGGUGGGGGCCGCAUUGCUAUGCGAGCUCGGAACGUGCCAGGCGGUCCUGUUGCCGAUUACUCCCUGUGCGCUUGAAGGUGUCCGGGUCCUUAAUCGCCGAACUAGUGGAUUGCCUUAAGAGGCUGCUUUAUGCUUCUACUGCGAGGGCCGCAGUGUGCUCCUCCAUGCAGAGAGAGUGCUCUGUGUUUCCAUUGACUGUGAUGACCCCCCGAGGUCCUGGCAUCUUGAGCUUGAGAUAUGCAUAAUGCGGUACCGCAUUGAAUCUUGCAAAUACGGUUCGCCCUAGCAGUGCAUGAUAGCCACUGCGGAACGGGACUAUGUCGAAGAUCAACUCUUCGCUUCGGAAGUUAUCCGGAGAUCCAAAGACCACUUCCAGUGUUACUGAGCAUGUGCAAUGGGCCUCUACACCUGGUAUGACGCCUUUAAAGGUCGUUUUGGUGGGUUUGAUCCUUGAGGGGUCUAUACCCAUUUUGUGCACUGUGUCGUGAUAAAGCAGGUUCAGGCUGCCGCCGCCGUCCAUCAGGACUCGAGUGAGGUGAAAUCCGUCAAUGAUUGGGUCGAGGACCAAUGCGGCGAAUCUGCCAUGACGGAUACUAGUGGGAUGGUCCCUGCGAUCGAAGGUGAUCGGACAGGAAGACCAUGGGUUGAACUUUGGGGCGACAGGCUCCAACGCAUAUACGUCCCUGAGCGCACGAUUCCGCUCCCUCUUGGGGAUGUGGGUUGCAUAUAUCAUGUUCACUGUCCGCACUUGUGGGGGGAACCUCUUCUGUCCUCCGGUGUUCGGCUGCCGGGGCUCCUCCUCGUCAUUGCUAUGUGACCCCUUAUCUUUGUUUUCGGCAUUUAACUUGCCGGCCUGCUUGAACACCCAACAGUCCCUGUUGGUGUGGUUGGCUGGCUUGUCGGGGGUGCCAUGUAUUUGACAUGAGCGAUCGAGUAUACGGUCCAAACUGGACGGGCCCGGAGUGCUUCUUUUGAAUGGCUUUUUCCGCUGACCGGGUUUAGAGCCUUUGAAUCCGGCAUUGACUGACGUAUCCUCGGUAUUGUCGCUGUUAAUGUGGCGCUUGUUGUGACGUGACCUACCAUUGCCGUCCUUGGUAUCCGAAGUACCAUGGUUCUUUGAUAUGUUAUUACUGCGAGCCAGCCAGCUCUCUUCUCCCGCGCAAAAGCAGGUCAUGAGUGUCGUGAGGGUUGCCAUAGUUUUCGGCUUUUCCUGGCCAAGGUGCCGGGCUAGCCACUCGUCGCGGAUGUUGUGCUUGAAAGCUGCUAGGGCCUCUGCAUCCGGACAGUCGACAAUUUGAUUUUUCUUUGUUAGGAACUGUGUCCAGAAUUGCGUGGCCGAUUCCUCUGGCUGCUGAAUUAUGUGGCUCAAGUCAUCGGCAUCUGGUGGUCGCACAUAAGUGCCCUGAAAGUUGUCAAGGAAUGCGGCUUCCAGAUCUUCCCAACAGCCAAUGGACUCUGCUGGCAGGCUGUUGAGCCAAUGCCGAGCUGGUCCUGUGAGUUUGAGUGGGAGGUAUUUGAUGGCGUGUAGGUCAUCACCGUGGUCCAUGUGGAUGUGCAGGAGGAAAUCCUCGAUCCAUACCGCAGGAUCUGUUGUGCCGUCGUAUGAUUCUAUAUUUAUGGGUUUGAAACCCUCUGGGAUUUGAUGAUCCAUUACCUCGUCUCUGAAGCAUAAGGGGUGUGUGGCGCCUCUGUACUGGGCUAUAUCGCGACGCAGCUCGAAUGAGUCUUGCCUGCUGUGUUUGGCCCGGCCGGACUUACUUUUACUGUACCCGGCGUGACGAUUAUCGUCUCGCAUAGUGGCGCGCCCUCGUGAUCCGUAGAUCAAUCUUGCAUGUUUUGCUUUGUCCUCCAAUACGUCUCGCAGGUCUGGCGUAUUUCCCCAUGCCUUUUUAUUUGAAUGACGUCGGGGUACGGGCUGAGCUUUUGGCUGGAAUGUCUCUCUGUCGCGGCCACGAGGUGGCCGAUCAGCCGCGUCAUACGCCGGGGAUGUAGGUUUUGGUGCUUCCUCCUCCAGACGGGGUAGCAACCUGCAUUUUGGGUAACUCUUGGAGGGGCGUUCGAGUUUAUACUCUUCGGGCGCCAGGACUUCAGUCCAUCUGUCAGCUAGUAGAUCUUGAUCAGCUUGAAGCUGCUGCUGCUUUUUCUUAAGGCUAUUUGUCAUGGCUAUAAGCUUACGCUUGAAGCGCUCUUGUUCGACGGGAUCCUCUGGCACGGCGAAUUCGUCAUCGCCGAGGCUUGCCUCGUCUUCGGGGGGGGGGCAUGUAAUUAUCAUCCUCCGCCUCUCCAUCUGCCGCUCUCUCAGGAGGGCUGGCUCCUCCAUCCUCCUGCUCUAAAUCUUCCUAGAGGGGAUUGUUGUUGUCUUCGACACUGUCCGGAAUGCUAUUAUCUCCGGUGCCGGUAUCACCACUUUUGCCUUGGCGGGACUUAGAGUGACGCCGCUGACGCCGGCGCUUGGGUUGCUUCUUGGAGGGGUCAUCCUCCGUUGUCUCAUCGCCAUUGCCUUCUUUGGGUGUGUCCACCAUGUAUAUAUCGUAUGAUGAGGUGGCUGUCCAGUGCCCUGUGGGCAGUGGUUCCUCUUUGACUCCCGCAUCGUCGUCCAUACCGUCGAUGUCUUCGGAGUCGAAGUCGAGCAUGUCGGUUAAGUCAUCGACAGUGGCUACUAAGUGGGUGGUGGGUGGGCGGCGAAUUUCUUCGUCAUCCGCAUCCCAAUCCUGCCAGAGGUAGUUUGGCUAGGAUCCCUCUGACAAGGAAAGAGACCUUAAUGAGUUCAGUAUGUCGCCGAAGGGCGAGUGCUGAAAAAUAUUCGUGAAGGUAAACUCCAUGAUCGCGCCCAAUCGGAUUCGAUAGGAACAGGCGCAGGCGGUUCGGAGUCCGUGGCCGGAGAAGGAUUCGGCAGUUUGGCAACACGACUCUUGUGAAGGGUAAGGUUGAUAUUCGGCUCGAUCGCCGCAGAGGGUACGGCCUCCGUGACGGGGUCUAUCCACCCAUCCACAGAUGGCGAAACUGGCUCCGUAUUGAGGGUCGGAGCGGCUGCCGGUGCGAUCUCCUGAAUACGGUCCGAUGGUAGAGCUAAAUCAUACUCACCGUGACCGCGUGGCACACAAGGCAGGGUCUCGAAUCCGUCGAAGAUCAAGUCUCCGCGGAUAUCGGCCGUGUAGUUUAAGCUUUCAAACCUGACCUGGUGGCCAGGGGCGUAACUUUCGAUCUUCUCUAGAUGGCCAAGCGAGUUGGCCCAUAGUGCGAAGCCACCGAACACAAAGAUCUAUCUGGGGAGAAAAGUCUCACCCUGGACUGCAUCACUAUCGAUGAUCGUAGGAGCCAUCAAGCCUAACGGCGACGACACAGAGGAACUCUCAAUGAAAGCACCAAUGUCAGUGUCAAAACCGGCGGAUCUCGGGUAGGGGGUCCCGAACUGUGCGUCUAAGGCGGAUGGUAACAGGAGGCAGGGGACACGAUGUUUUACCCAGGUUCGGACCCUCUUGAUGGAGGUAAAACACUAUGUCCUGCUUGAUUUAUUCUUGAUGAUAUGAGUAUUACAAGAGUUGAUCUACCACGAGAUCGGAGAGGCUAAACCCUAGAAGCUAGCCUAUGGUAUGAUUGUAUGUUGUCCUACGGACUAAAACCCUCCGGCUUAUAUAGACACCGGAGGGGGCUAGGGUUACACAAGGUCGGUUACAAAGGAGGAGAUAUACAUAUCCGUAUUGCCUAGCUUGCCUUCCACACCAAGUAGAGUCCCAUCCGGACACGAGACGAAGUCUUCAAUCUUGCAUCUUCAUAGUCUAACAGUCCGGCCAAAGGAUAUAGUCCGGCUAUCCGGAGACCCCCUAAUCCAGGACUCCCUCAGUAAGGUCCGGUCAUAGUCACUUGUUGAAAUCUCUAAAAAGACAAAUACUCCCUCCGUCCGGAAAUACUUGUCAUCAAAAUGGAUAAAAGGAAAUGUAUCUAGACGUAUUUUAGUUUUAGAUACACCUCUUUUUAUCCAUUUUGAUAACAAGUAUUUUUGGACGGAGGGAGUAGAAAACAGAGUUGGUGAUGAUCAUGUGCAUGCCAUCCUGCAAUAUAGGCCGUCGGAUUUAUAUCUAACGGAUAGGAAAGAAACUAUGGCAAUUUUGCAAAAAUAUACCCACACGUCUCUCCACGUUCGCAAAUAAGGCCUUCCCUCGUUCAACCUUUUCUCUCACAAGAUAAACUACUCAUACAAAUGCAUCUUGAGGUGUCCACAGAAUCGAAGAGAGGGAUGAUGUGUGUGUGUGUGUGUGCGCACGCGAUCGAUAGAGUGCCAUCGAAUUUGUGUGUGCCCACGUCAAAGAUAUAGAGUGGCUGGCCUACUGGAACGUGAGAUGGGACAUGUGCAGUUUGUCGCUGUGGCAUGGAUACCUACCUGCAGCGCUCGACUAUCGGUGUGUGGUGGGGGAAUAGGGAGGCCCAAUUAACGAUAGAGGUACAAUGGCUGGUAUAUGUGUGGAGGAGGAGAGAGGCCUACCUCAUGUAUUAAGGAGAUCGAUCUGCCUCAUGUAUUAAGGGAGAUCGAUCGGCAUCCAUGCAUAUGUGCAGGAGAGGAAUAAGGUUGGGAGAGAGACAGAGCUAGAGUGUUGGAGGGGGUGGUAGUGGAGUUGCUUCUAACAAAUGGUGGGAUAGGCUUGCUAGACAAACGGAGGGCACGCCCGCAAUAUCAAUAAGAGAGGAGAUGGCUGCUUGUUGUCUAUGCACGUGCGUGUGAGAGACGGGUCAGGAGGCAUGCACGAAUGAUGAGGGGGGACAAUGUGGCUGUGGUAAGCAGACGUAACUACAUAGGAAGAUCAAUCUCCCUUUGUUAGAGAAAGGAGAGACAUAACUUGUAAGGUACGUCGAUUGAUGGGGGGUAGUUAAAGUCGAUCUAGGUAUAUGUUGGGAGAUCGAUCGGUAUACAUGCAUGUGUGUUAGAAGCAAAUGAGGCACGAGGAGAAGGAUAGAGAGAGGGAUGCAUGUAGGAGGUCGUACGAGAGGCAUACUAUAUCGAGGGGGGAGGAGUGUGCGAGUACGAGAACGACAAAAAGAGUGGUGGGAGUGAGGCAUGGAUGGUGACAAGAGAAGAGGGGAAGCUUGUGUUUGUGCUAGGCACACCUGGCUAUAGAGGCAUAUCGAUCAAUGUGUGCCGUAAAGAAGGAGAUGGGGGGCCUACACACACCGUGGGUGAACGACCUAAAGUGAAAAGACAAAUUUGCGUGAUGGAGCUAGACAAUGCUUAGGGAGGGUGAGAGGGAUGCGGGCGUGUGCAUGCACAAGAGAAAGUUAGCGCUAGCUACAAAGAUAAGAGGGUUGUGUGGGUGUAAAAGACGAAUAGAGAUCAUAUAUACUUCAUUAUAAAAAGCGAAUUCGGAUAUUUGAAGAAUUUAUCAUAGUGUUUCAAACCGACGCAUGUGUGAAUAUAUAUAACGGUGAUACACAUGGUGUGGUUAUGAACAUGUUAUACUACAUUUAAUAUAUUUUAUCUCUGCUCUUAUAAAAAAUGGAGUUGUUGAUGAUGGUGUUCCUGCCAUCCUGCAUUAUAGGCCAUCCGAUUUAUAUCUGACGGAUAGCAAGGAAACUAUGAUGGUUGAAGUUGGCAACAAUCAUGAUUGUAGAUUCUUAUUGAAAUAGAUAAACGAAUUCAAAUUUAGUUCAAAUUGCAGCGGUAGUAUAGACAUUUGGAAUGCACUAAUAUGUUGGUAUGAGUAGGUUACAUGCAUUAUACAGCAAGCGAAAAAAUUUAAUCGGACAUAACAUGGAUUCAUACUCCCUCCUUCCAUCUAUAUAGGGUGUAAUGAGAUUUUUAAGACCGCCUUUGACUAUUGACAAGAUUAAUAGUACAUGACAUGCACAAUGUGAAAAAUAUAUCAUUGAAAAAACCUUUCACAGACGAAUUUAUCGGUGUGCUUUGUGUAAGUUGCAUGUCAUAUAUCAUUGCUCUAAUAUUUGGUCAAAGUUAGUAUCGAAAAACGCAUUAGGCCCUAUAUAGAUGGAAGGAGGGAGUAGCUUUGAAUAGCAUUUGUAUAGUAAAACGAGGCAAGACUCUCUCUUUGUGUGGUGUGAAUAGUUUUAUUUUUUCGUUUUCUUUUUGGUUGAGGGAAGUGCGAACUGAUUUGAUACGUAUACAAGUACAAUAUUACUACAUGUUAGUCGUGUCCCUAAAAUUCAACCCGCGUCUUGUUAUAUCCCGAAAAUUCAGAUAUCGUGCUCCCAAAACUAGCGCCUUCACAACCCGCACCUUGCUAUCCCGAAAUUACAAUGCACGCGAAAACUCCCUCCAACUGCCAAAUCCUGACACGUGAAAUCCCCCUUCUAACCCUGAGCCGAAAGGGUCGCUAGUUCAAAUCGGUGGGGGGUACUUUUGUAACACGCCCUACAUUUUGGACAAGCGCGUCCCUAAGUCAUGCUUCACCCCCUCCCAUCGCCCCAUUUUCGCCAUUCGAAAUCCCAAGCCGCCAUAACCUCUCCGCUCUAGCCGCGAAACCCCACCCUCCUCCGUCUGCCUCGUCACCGCUGCCCAGCCGGAGCCUCUUCCUCGACGAUGUCGUCCACCGCAACAGCACGACGUCCCUCGUCCACCUCCCCAUAUGAGGAUCUGUCGUCCAUCUCGUCGUACCGCCGGUUCAGCCUCCCCGUCCUCCACCUCCAAGGAGCUGCUCCGACGAUCGCCUCGUCUAUCGCGGCUGCUCCAUCCCCACAGCACCGCCUUAACCUGCUCCACUGGAACAGCAGCAUCCUCUCCGACUCCUCGGACGAAGCCGAGGCCUACUCGGCACCACCAAAGAGGUUGUACACUCAUCACAUCGCACCUUCUCCUUAACUCAACCUCCCGGCACCGAUGGUGCUCCAUCCCGCACCCCCAUGGAGCGGCUACCUUGAAGCCGGCGCCGCGAGCGACAUCUCCACGACGGCUCUCCCCCAGUGCGAGGCCCCUUCGACAGCGGCGUCCAUACCAGCCGAAUCUGCUGCUGCUGCUCCGGCUCUCACUCGCUCACGCUGUUGCUGCUGCUCCGGCUCUCACUCGAUCGCUCGCUCGCCCAGUUGCUGCUGCUGCUCUCCCCCUCUCUCGUGCUGCUGCUCUCCCCCUCGCUCAUGUUGCUGCUUUGCUCCGAUUAAGCCACACUUCAGUCGACUGAAUCGACUUUUGGGUCAGUCGAUUUUCAGGGGUUGGGGGGGCUCGCCGGAGUUAAGGAAGAACCACCCGCAGCGGGGAAGGGGCUCGCCGGAGAGGUACCCCACUAUCUAUCUUCGGGUUCAGGGUGGGGGGCUAGAGGGCUGGCUGGGGCAGCGGUGGUGAGUUAUUUCGGGGCGGCGAGGCGGCGCUGGGGCCGGCGGUUCGGCCGGUGGUGGCUGGCGACUCAGGGGGGUGCAGGUUGAAGAUGAACGGCAGGCCCUCCCUAAACUACAUGUCAAGUGCCUCUCUGCUACCAUUGCGUUCAGUUUCGACAGUAGCAUUCAGAUUCCACAGUAAAUUUCAGUUUCAACAGUUAAGUUCAGAGUCAACAGUUUUUACCUCAUCUGUUGUAGUCAGGUGGUUUUUGGUGAUGUUAAUUUUACAUCCAUUUUACAUCAUCUAUUGGAGAUGCUAUUAGAAUCCCACUUGAGAUUGACGAUGUCUGUCUUGUGCUGCUUCGACCUUGAUGUCUUACGGCUCAUGGAGCUUCUCCAAUAACAGAACGAUCCAUCACAACAGAGAAGUGCCCUGGACGCCGUCUACAGAUUCCUCAUAUCUUCUUCCACACCUCCGACAGCCACCUCUGCCUCAACUGCUUCAGCGACCAACCCAAUGAUGAUGAGGUCGACACGGCUACAGCAAAGAGGUUGUACACUUGUUGCAUCACUUAUUACUAUACAUUCACGUCGAUCCAUUAGGGCUAUUUUGGUUCAACGGAAAAACGUCGAUCCACUGGUUGUUACCAUCACUCUAAAUUUCUGCAUGCUCUCCUUACAUAAUCUCACCAUAUUUUUGUGUAUGCAUGUCAGAUAUUAUACAUAGUCAUGCUGAACAUGUAGAGAAAAAGAGAAGAGUUUUGCGCGGUAAUACAAUGUCAUGCAGACAUCGCUCCAUGGUGGGUUCAAUGGCAAACCCUCCCCACCCCUCUCCAGAUUGUAAUCCAGAGGAAGAUAUCUGUUCUGAGGCGGAUUCAGACGCCGCUGACCACUCCUAUUUGCCCCCCCAAGGUGUUUGCUCUACCUUGGCAUGAUGAUGCUAGUCAUAUCAUGCAUAUGAUGCCUUGCAGUGCCUACUUUUGACAUCAUAUAUGUCAUCUGCUUAGUUUAGACAUGUUCUGUAAUGCCACCUGUUUAGUUUCUAUAUCAUAUAUGGGAAUUAUGCAGUCUCAUGUCUUUUAGCCAGCCAUAAUAUAUGUGAAAUGUGCAAUGCCAUCCUGUUUAACCAGGCAUCAUAUUUUUGAAUGAUAUCUUACCCAUCCUUUUCUUCAUUACAUUUCCAUUUGUCGACAAUGUUUGUACAUUAAACUACUUUUCCUGUGAAUCGGCCAUUUGGGUGGGAGAUGGAAAAAUCUGGAGUGAAAACAAGGCCUUCAGAGCAGACAGUGCAACCUGCCGAAGCAGAUCUCUUGUUGGGUUCCGAUAGCUCCUCGGAGAUGGAUUCAGAGACAGAUGACCAGUCCUAUUCCCCCACUGAGGUGUAUGCUCUAACUUGGCACGGUUAUACUGCUCAUAUCAUGCAUACAGUGUCUUGCAUUGCAUAGUUUAGACAUCAUAUACACAAUAUUCAACACCAUGUUCUUAGUUCAGACAUCAUAUCGAAUGCCCUCUGUUUGGCAUAUAAAUCACAUAUGUGAAUUAAAUGAUGUGAUCCUGAUUACUUAGAUAACAUGUAGGUGAAUUAUGUCAUGCGAUCAUGUUUAGUUAUUCAUCAUGUCUUUGAAUUAUGCUAUGCUAUGCUAUCUAGUUUAGAUAGACAUCAUAUAUGUGAAAUUAUGUCAUGCUAUUCGUUUUAGUUAAACAAUAUACAUGUCAACUAUUUCAUGCCCUCUUUUUUCCACACUAUCUAUUGCAUCUGUCUCUCAUACAAUGUCUGUACAUUCAACUAUGUUUCAUGUUUAUUAGACAUUUGAAUUGGAGCGGGUGAUGCCAGUAUCUAGGAGACUAAAAACACGGUCUUCAAAUAAAACAGUGCUACCUCUUAGUGGAGAUAGCACCCCGGUUGUACAUGCACAAGAACCAGCCCUACCACACAUAACCCAAACUCUCGCAGAUUGUACCCCUACCGCGAUGGACACAAAACUAGCUUCACCCAAUCUAACCCCAACCCCAGUCGAUAGUAACCCAGUUCCUGUUGACACAUCACCAUCUCCACCACAGAGCUCCCAAACGAAAGAAGUUAGUAAGGCAGUUCCAGUGCCCAAAGGGUCAGUACUAUCACGGCGAACCCCAACUCCACCAGUUAGUACGCCUAUUCCUGUGGAGGAAGCCCAACUAGCUAGUCGUAGUUUAGCAUCUAUCGCAUUUGAUGUUGUUAAAUCGUAUGUGCAUAUCUUCCCAUCUUGGAAAUAUUAUACUGAAGAUGAAGGAAAAUGCCAGUUGCAGGUGUUUGUCUAGGAGUUAUGUGUAAGUAAUGUUAUUCAUGGCAAUUACUUUGCUUCGUCCCAUACAUCCUACCUCCAUGAUGGUUACAAUACAGCAAAUUUUCCCAUUUUUCUCUAUAGAGAAGGACCAAUUUGGAAACUCAGGAUGAGGUAACCUGUGCUAAUACCUCUGCUAUCUUCAAGGAUGCUUGGUGGCAGUAUCGGAAUUACCUAAAGAAAACGUACUUCACCGGCAAACAAACUCAUCAAAUUCCCUUACGUUCUCCUGAGACACAUUUACUAGACGAUGACUGGGAACGCCUUGUUCUGUACUGGUUCCGAACCAAGAAUGUGGUAAGGUCUAUGAGCUCAUUUUCUAUUUUUAAGUAUUAUAUUCUUGCGUCUUACUAUACUCUGUUCAUGUAGAACAAGUGCCUAAACAUGAAGAACAACUGUUCUAAUUUAAGGUUCCAUUGCUAUCAUAGUUCAAAAAAGUGCUAGGCGUUAAUUGUGCGUUUUGCCACCGCCUUGCGCUUUACUGACCAAAACACAUGCUUAUGCACAGUUAUGCACAGAUUAUGCGUAGUUAUGCGCAAUGCGUUUUGCCAACACCUAGAGCCUAGGCGCGCUUAAGCGCUCCCUUAGGCGCGCCUUUUUUUAACUAUGAUUGCUUUGCUCUUGUAUCAUUGUAUUUACUCAUACAAACUUAUUUUUAAAUUGAAGGAUCCAAUCGAAACUCCAAUGGCAUAGCAGGUAUGUCCAACCAUGUUUCUUUAACAGGUUUGCUCUUAUCAAUAGCUCUGUUGAUUUCAAUUUCAAUUGUGUAUACAGUUGACUUUCAUAUCAUGCACAUUACUAGCAUCACAACAGAGCCAAUAGUGUUGUUGUACAUGUAGACCCGUGGUACCCAUCUGAAAUCUUGUUGUGCCGUGUAGUUUCCCAUGCUUUGUAUUCUUUCACUGCUGCUUUGUCUUGAACUGAUAUGAUUUGAACCGUGUCUCUAUUUUGAUUUUGCAAGACAAUGCAGUGACCAUAGGACAUAGAUAUAUGUUUGUUUGAUGCUUUUAUUAUGUACUAGUACUUGGCAAUAGAAGACUUGGUAGUUUAAUCCUGUCCACCUUACUAAUGAACUGGUUCACCGAAAUGAGUUUCAUAUACUAGUACAUGCUAAACUUGUUAUGUGUCUGCUUGUUUCUUCUUUUAGAAUGCUGACAGAAUAUUGGGGAAGAGUGCCUUAUUAAGCAAUGGUAAAGGAAGUAAUGCAGAUAAGGUUCAGGAUAGUGACACAUCCUUGUUGGUCUCCAACAAAGCUGAUAAAACAGCUAAGGAGGACUAUCUUGAAGACAGCGAGACAACCCCAAAGUCCUGUCUUGGUUUAGUGUUCGAGUUACUGGCCACUACCGCUUGCACAAGCUAUUCAAACUCACUGUCUGAAUCAGUUCGGUUUCUUGAGUCUCAACUACAAGCUGAAAGACAUCGAUUAGCUGUGCUGUGACAAGAAGCAGAAGGACUGCGGAAGUCCCUAGAGCAUUUAGAUGCAUACUUUCUGGUGCAACAGCAAGCGUUGGAGGAUUUUAGCGCCAAAUAGGACAAAGCUAAUCAGCUUGCUAAGCUUAUUGCCAGGAUGGUGGAUACCCAGGAUAACGUUUGUUGAGCUCUUCUGAAGUUGUUUCAGUUAUGCUCUUGUUUUGCUGCCGCAUUUAUUUGCACUCGUGGCCAAUUUUGACGGCCGGUGUAUGUAAUGUGCUGCUUUGUUCCCUAUAUUUGCACUGGUGGCGAACUUUAAUGCCCAGUGGAUGUAAUAGCGGUAAUAGCCUAGCGUUAAUUGCUUGCUUAUUUAUUUCCUUAUUGUCUUGUUUAGUUGUUUGCUUGUAGUCACUGAGUUCUUUUUCUGUUUUUUCUAGUGGCCACAAUAGCCUAUUUUUGGUAACUAGGCCAAAAUAAUCAUGGGCCUUCUACGGGCCGUAUGAUCCACGGGCCUUCGUCCAGCGGUAGGAUCCAUCGGCCUUCUAUACGGGCCUUAGGGUCCAUGGGCCUUCUACGGGCCAUAGGGUCCAUGGGCCUUCUACGGGCCGUACGAUCCAUGGGCCUUCUACGGGCCGUACUAUCCAUGGGCCUCAUACGGGCCGUAGGAUCCAUGGGCCUUCUACGGGGCGUAUCAUCAUUUCGCCAAUCAUGGGCCAUACUAUUCAUGGACCAUAACGGGCCAUUAAUAGGUCGUAUUUGAUAACUCUAUGAAAACAGCCCAACGUUUUUUUACAUGAAAACGGCCCAACGUAUUAAUGGUCCGCAAACGGGCCGACUGUAACGACGGGCUGAAUUUGGCCCACAAGCAGAAAAUGACAGUAACGGGCCGUAUGUAACCGAAUGUUGCAAAUGAGCCCAAGAAUCAAUGGGCCCUGAGAAGGCCGAAAGAUAACUUGGGCUGGAAACGGCCCAAUGGAAUAACGGGUCGUUAAUGGGUAUAAAGUGAUACACUGUUCAUUAUGCGCCAGUUUCACCACGAGUCGUUAAUGGGCCAAGAGUUACAAAGGUCCUCAUAUGGGCCAAAAGAAGUCAUGGGCCACACAUGGGCCGGAAGUUAAAACGGGCUGAAUCAUAUUGGAUGGCCCAGAUGACGCUACUGGGCCUAAUUCGGAAAGGGCAUAACGUGCCCUGGGUUAGCGGGCUGUAAAUGGGCUAUAUGCGAACAUGCCAUUAACAGGCUUUCCGUGGGCCGGCCUACCACCUUUUGACCAAGUCAAACGGGCCGGCCUUUUCACAGGAAUGGGCCUAUGUUGGGCCAUGCCACGUGUCGCCGUAUCAUAGGCGCCUUCGGUCCAAUGAGUGGAUGACAUCUGUCCCAACGGUGAGCUGGCACGUGUUUCCUCCAGCCAAUGAUGAUUUUACACGUGGAAAAUCCCCAUUGGUCGGGGCUGUUAACGGGUUAUCGGAUCCAAAACCUGACCUGAUAGCUUAACGGCGUUCCGUUACGAUGGAUGCCACGUGUCAGUCACCCUUGACGAAAGCACUUCUGUGACGCGCGAUUUAUCGUCAUGGAAGUGGACACUUCCGUGAUGAUAAUUUUGGUAAUGUCAUGGAACACUUCUACGACAGCACAUGUAUGACUAUCUUGAUUCUGUCAUAAAUUUGUCAUGGAUGUACAUGCAUGACAAAAAACGUGACCUACUGUGACAAACAUGUAUCAUCACGGAAGUGUAUUUUUUUGUAGUGAUAGCACUCCACGCCGAGAACAAAAUAGCCGCACUGGCCCUCGAGGCAUUAUCCGAAGCCCUUGUGGCGGAGGAGCUAACCAUGCUGCGCUCCACAGUGGACAGGGACGAUGUGAUACUAGACAAAAGAUCCAAGUCCACCUCCUUUAAACCAGCGGACGAAAUAGUCAAAUUCCAAGUCCAUCCAACGGACCCCACAAAAACAGCAUCCAUUGGGGCACAGUUAAACCCCGCCGUAGACGCCGCACUACGGGAGUUCCUGCGCAAGAAUUGGGACAUAUUCGCCUGGCAUCCUUCAGACAUGCCAGGAAUCCCACGCAGGCUGGCUGAGCAUAGCCUUAACAUUCUAAAAUGAUUCAAGACGGUCAAGCAGACUCUUCGGCGUUUCUCCAAACCUAAGCGACAAGCCAUGGGAGAGGAGCUGGCCAAAUUACUAGAGGCCGGAUUCAUUAGAGAAAUAAAGCAUCCGGACUGGCUAGCAAACCUGGUGAUGGUUCCAAAGAAGGACAAAUCCUGGCGCCUAUGCGUCGACUUCAAGGACCUCAAUAAGGCUUGCCCAAAGGAUCCCUUCCCCCUCCCUCACAUCGAUCAAAUUAUCGACGCUACUGCAGGACACGACUCAUUGUGCUUCCUCGACGCAUACUCUGGUUACCACCAAAUUAAGAUGGCGGAGUCCGACCAAGCCGCAACGGAAUUUAUCACCCCAUACGGCCCCUUCUGUUUUAACACAAUGCCCUUCGGGCUCAAAAACGCCGGCGCAACGUAUCAGCGCAUGAUUCAGACAUGUCUGGAAAAGCAGAUCGGCAAAAUAGUGGAGGCAUACGUCGACGAUGUGGUCGUUAAAACCAGACACGUCGACUCCUUAAUAGACGACUCGAGGCUCACGUUCGACAAUCUCCGAACAUACGACAUUAAGCUCAAUCCAGAAAAAUGCAUUUUUGGCAUACCCGUCGGAAAGCUCCUGGGCUUUAUUGUCUCGAACAGAGGAAUUGAAGCAAAUCCGGCCAAAAUCCAGGCUCUGUCGCAGUUGGCUAUCCCAACUGACCUCAAGCAAAUCCAGAAGUUAACUGGAUGUGUGGCGGCUUUAAGCCGCUUUAUCUCCCGAUUAGGAGAAAAGUCACUCCCCCUUUAUCGCCUUCUUCGGCGCACCGAACACUUCGAGUGGACGGACACAGCCACGGCCGGAUUGGAAGAAAUAAAAGCCAUCCUGGCCACCAACCCAAUCUUGGCCGCGCCAAAUGUCGGCAAACCAAUGCUAUUAUAUAUAGCGACAACUCACCAAGUUGUAAGUGCAGUGCUUGUCGUCGAAUGAGAGACGGACGGACAUAAAUUCCCACUUCAAAAGCCGGUAUAUUAUGUAUCCACCGUCCUCACUCCAUGCAAAUCACGGUACCCACAUUAUCAAAAGAUAGCAUACGGUAUUCAUGGCAUCCCAGAAAUUACGACACUACUUUCAAGAGUGUUCAAUUACGGUGGCCUCCAAAGUACCACUCAACGACAUAAUAAACAACCGCGAUGCCACGGGUCGGAUUGCCAAAUGGGCUAUCGAGCUCAUCCCGUUCGACAUACCAUAUAAACCACAUCAAUCCAUUAAGUCGCAAGUACUGGCCGAUUUCGUAGCCGAAUGGACAGAAGUCGAACUCCCUAAAGAGUACGGCGCAUACUCCAAUUGGAUCAUGCACUUCGACGUCUCUAAAAUGCUGGCUGGUCUGGGGGCUGGUGUCGUCCUGACGUCCCCCACCAGAGAUACAGUGCAAUACGUACUCCAAAUACUAUAUACAGACUCCAAUAACGCAGACGAAUACGAGGCCCUAUUACACGGUCUCCGGAUGGCAGUUUCCAUGGGCAUUCAACGCCUGGAGGUGCGUGGGGACUCGAACCUCGCAAUAUCCCAAAUAAAUGGAGACUUCGAUGCCAAGGAUCCAAAAAUGGCGGCAUAUCGCAACGCCGUCCUCAAAAUGUCAGCUCGGUUCGAGGGGCUUGAAUUACACCAUGUGGCUCGGGAAAACAACCAGGCGGCGGACAUCCUCGCCCGUAUCGGCGCUAAACGCGACCCUGUCCCACCUAACAUCUUCCUGGAAAAACUGUUUAAGCCAUCCGUGGUAUGGGAAGGAGAUACCGGCAACAAUAGUCCGGACCCGGCCACAACAACAGAUACCGAACACUCUGACACAAUCAGAGGCUCUGCCAUCGAAGUAACACCUCCAGCCCACGUAAUAAUGGCCGUCAUCGCCCCGUGGACAGAACCAUUCCUAGCCUACCUAACCAGGCAGGAACUACCCGAGGACCAAAAUGAGGCACACUGCAUAGUGCGGCGAUCUAAAGCCUACAAGGUCCACGAGGGAGAGCUUUAUAAGACAAGCACUACCGGAGUCCUUCAAAGGUGCAUCUCCGAAGGGGAAGGGCGGAAGCUUUUGGCAGAAAUCCAUGCCGGACUCGGCGGCCAUCACACCGCAGCCCGGGCCCUAGUAAGCAAGGCCUUCCGUACAGGUUUCUAUUGGCCGACGGCCCGGGCAGAUGCGCAACAUCUGGUCCAACAUUGUGUUGGUUGCCGGCUUUUUGCAAACCAAAGCCAUAUGCCGCCUACCGCUCUCUAAACAAUCCCCAUUACUUGGCCCUUUGUGGUCUGGGGGCUUGAUAUGGUCAGACCCCUUAAAGGGGGAACUCAUAAGAAAAAAAUACUUACUGGUCAUGGUGGAUAAAUUCACCAAAUGGAUAGAAGCCAAACCUGUAAAGACAGCCGAAUCUGGACCGGUGAUAGACUUCAUAUCCGGGGUCGUACACCGUUAUGGCGUCCCCCACAGCAUCAUCACUGACAACGACACGAACUUUACAGUCGGCAAAGUGAAACUUUGGUGCAGCAACAUGGGCAUCAAGCUCGAUUAUGCUUAUGUCUAUCACCCGCAAACUAAUGGUCAAGUCGAGUGAGCGAAUGGUCUUAUCAUGAGCGGCAUUAAACCCAGAUUAGUGCGGUCCUUAAAGGAAUCAAACACGCACUGGGUAGAGGAGCUCGACUCCGUACUAUGGUGGCUGCGGACCACGCCGAAUCGCACUACCGGAUACACACCAUUUUUCAUGGUGUACGGCGCAGAGGCGGUUCUGCCUUGCGAUAUAAUUCAUGACUCACCUCGAGUGCGCAUGUACGAAGAAAAAGAGGCCGAGCUUGAUUGGCAGGACAGUUUGGACGCCCUGGAGGAGGAGCGCGACGUGGCAAAAGCCCGUUCUGCAUUCUAUCAGCAACAGGCUCGAAGUUAUCAAAGCAGAGAAGUACGGGCCAAAACCUAUAACAUUGGCGAACUAGUUCUACGCCUGCCGGAGAAGAAAAAGAACAAGCUCAAGCCCAAAUGGGAAGGUCCCUUCAUUAUUGACCAGGUUCUGACCGGCGGAGCGUACCGUCUGCGGGAUGCAUCGGAUAAUCGACUCGAGCCAAACCCAUGGAACUCAGCCAGACUCCGAAGAUUCUACGCCUAGCGCCGGACUCUAUGUUCGUCUCCUCACCUCCGUCAAUUUUUUGCAUAUCUAUCUUUUCUCUCUUUCUCUCUCUUUUUUUAUUCUCUUCAAGGCCCUAAAGGGCUAAACUUGUGUCUUGGUUACACAAUCUUGACGCGCUAGCCACGCUCAUUAUACCUGGGGGCUUCUUAUACAAAAGCUUAAUCUAAUUGUUUUUCUGGGCUUUAUGCCCCGCACGUGUGUUAUUCUUCCGCAUGUACCUUUUUUCGUCAUUAUAUGCAUCGAUAUGACUUAAGUUUUGGCCAAGCUGGGUUGCAUGGCUCUUGUAUUUAUGCCCUACGUUCUCGUUAAUUCGGCUAGGGCAUAAGGGGAGCACCUCUGCGAUUGUUAGUGUCGGGUCAACCGGAUGUGUACCUUAGACUGGGUGAAGCCAAAAGCUAGCGUUUUGAAGAGAAUAUUCGGUCGGUGAAUAAAAAAUGACUUUUAUUUAAGUUUGACACAUGCCCCCAGAUGUUUAUAGUCUGCGUCUCUUUUCGCAGUUCGAACAUGCACAUUAGGGCAUGCGUACCCAGGGAAAGGAACCCCUAACGGAACUAUUCUCCCUGGAAGAUGUUUCUUACUACCCAUGUAAUAUAACAUAGCUAGUUGGGUACUUGUCUGUUCAAGCACUUAUGACCCCUAUGCCUGGUCUCCAUGCAUACCCCGGUUUCUACAUAACCGAGCGGGUAUUCGGAUACACUCUGGACUAUCGGGUCCUGAGGUCGAAGCGAAAAGGUCCGCCAUGACAAAUGAUUUACAAUCCGGCUAGGGACAUUACAUAUGUCAUUUGAAGUACACAGUCACUGAGACUGAUUAAAUUCUUCUUCUAUACAUCCAACAGGCUGUCUAGCCUACAAUCCUGUUGGGAAUACUUUGCGGCUAAUUCUACUUGAUCAUACACUAAACUGAUGGGGAUCUCUUUCUCAUCGGGCCCCACGGGUCCGACCUCGGCCAUGUGGUUUGAGUCCGUUUUGGUAUAUCGCGUCUUCACCAUAGCCCAAGCUUCCCUUGCACCUUGUCGGCAGGUUGAUAUCUUCCAUAAUCGGAAGCGCCGCCGCGCUCCCUUAAGCUUCUCUACAAGCUCCCCCAUGCCUCCUGGUGGGGACGCGGACGGCCACAAGGCUUGGGCAAUACCCUGCAUCACCUGCCGAACUUGCUCGUGCAGUUGUGAGAGCUUUGGUAGAAGAUCACCCAAAGACCCGGGCAUCUCCUCCGCGGGACGACCCGUCAGCAUACCAGCAGACAUAACUCUUUAGCCGGCUUCUUCGCCAAACUCCUUUAAAAGUUCGUUCAAGCACUUACUAAAAAUGCCGCGCUGAAGCCGCUUAUUCUCCUUCACGGAGUCCACAAGCUGGGCUUGGACAUCUUUCAGUUCCACGCCCAGCCGGAUAUUGGCGUCUUCGAGAUUAUUUUUCUCCUGCCUGACUCGUGUAAGCACGCGCUCGCCAGCAUUUAGCUGUCGAUCAGCACGUGCCGCAUGCACCGCCACGACCUCUGGAUUCACUCUGGGGUCAUCUGCAACAUCUAUUGUUAGAUUUGCAUGCAUGUCGUAUACUACCGGGUACCUGUAUUCUUUGCAAUGGAAACAAGUAUUACCAGAGGGGCCCUUCUCGGACUCCUUCAACGCGGCAACAGCGGCCCCUAGAUGGGCCUUGCACUCUUCCAGCUCUUGAGACAGUCGGGAAUUCUUCUCUGUAAGAACCUGCACAAAUAAUGAUCCUUAAAUCAGUUGCGUCAACUGUUUCAAGUCUCAGGGGCUACUGAUAUACAUAAUCGUCAGAUUUUCCUACCCGUAUAUCCUUUACAUACUGGUCCGUGGCUCUGGCAAGACCAUUUUGAGCAGCACAGAUGUACGCAUCUCCUGAGGUGAAGGCAUCGAACGCCUCUUGGGAGAAAUAAGCGUCACGGAGUACGGCCCGGCGAUGCCUGUGAUUCUUGGCGCUCUCCACUUUGGAAUUUGUAGCAGAUAAUCUGUCCGCGCCCUCUGUAGGAGGAACAUCCAGUGUAUGUCCCGCGUUAGCUUCCGCCUCUAUGUCCUACCCUGGAGCCCGACUGGUCGAGGCGUGAUCGGCAGCCUCUCUGGAUAUAGUCCGGCGAGCAUUUUUUCUGCUAGGAAACAUGGACGUCAUUAUAUUUCAAGAAAGACGACAACCAUGGAGCGAGGUUUUGUAUCAUACCUCUGCGCCGGCGUCUCCGUCCUGACCACCUUCCUUUUUGGCCUACCCGGCUUCGGUGCCCCUUGUUGGCGAGUUGCUGCGGGUUCGUCAUGGCGUCCCGAAGGCCUUCCCUGUAAAACAACAUAUGUGUACGGUAGGUGAAGUGCAUAAAAGGGGAUCCUUUUUGGGAGUUGGGACUGUGGUUUUUUCUUACGUGCGAUGCAGGGAGUAGUCCAGGAUAGUCGGCCGUUAUGGCCACCAUGGCGUCAUCGUAGCUCAAUUGAUAGAAUUGCCUGUCUAUCAGCUCCACAAAUAUGUCUGGAUCCUCUUCGAGUCCGGGAUCGAGGGUCCGGCCAGGGUCCUCCGGUUGUAGAGGUGGGUUGUUGACCUCCCUUACAGCUUUUCGCAGUUCCUGCUGUGAAAUGACAAGGUGAGUAUCUACGACGAAGAAUGCGGGAAGGUUGGGAGUAAAGACUGACAACUCACCCAGUUUGGAGGGUUGUACAUGGAGAAUCCAUCCCAUGGCUUAAUACGGAUGAACUCCUCUUCCUCUCCCUUGAACAACUCGGACAGAAUUUUUGCUAAGGCAGCAGCGGAGUCCGGUCCCUUACGCCCGCAGCGGGUGGCGUCAUCUUCCCCAUUAAAACACCACAGGGGGUGCCCCCGAUAUUGAAGCGGCUGCACCCCCCUCAUUAUGCAUAUUGACAUAACCUCGAUUAUCGUCAAUCAUGAUUGAGCCAGCACUUUAAUUCGGUCCAUCAGGUAAAGGACUUCUCCGUUGUCUUCCACCUGGGGGCUUUGUGGGCGCCAACUUCGACGUUUCUUCAGAGGAGCAUUGUUGAACUCAGGAAGACCCCGCCGAACAGGGUCCGAAAGGGGGACGUCCUCCAUGUAAAAUCACUCCGAAGGCCAGUCUUCGGGGUAUCGGACAGGUAUCCGGUCUCGGCGAUGCGCCAUAUUUCGGCUCCGCCCACUUGAUAAAGUGACCCCUCCUGUGUAUGGGGCACAAGGCAGAAUAGCCUCUUCCAUAGCUUGAAAUGAGCCCCGCAGCCCAGAAAUAGCUCACAAAGGGCAACAUAACCGGCGAUGUGUAAUAUGGAAGUAGGGGUGAAAUUAUGCAAUCGGAGGCCGUAAAACUCCAGGAGUCCGCGGAGGAAUGGAUGGAUUGGAAAUCUAAGUCCCCUUAGUAAGUAAGGGACAAGGCAUACCCGCUCCCCCAUGGAGGGAUUGGGGAAGCUCUCCGCUUGCUCCCCGCCAUUAUAGGUGGCGAGCCCAGCUCGGACGGGGACCAUAUACGCUAGAGAGAGAAAUCCCCGGGUCUGCAGCUCUACUAAUCGGCUGUGCGGGACGGAAAACUUCUCCCAAUCACCGGGCUUAGGGCUACGGGAGCGAGAGGAGGAGCUGCGAUGGCCGGCCAUGAUGGAAUGGGUUUUUCUGAGCGCGCUCCAAUGGAUUCUCGACGUGGGAGGAUGGUGUGGAUUGGAUCCAAGAAUCCCCAUCCCUUUAAUAGACGAUUUAUUUACCUGGCUAGGGGGGCGAAUGUAAAAAUGCCCUGGCUCCUCGCAUUCUCUUGACACAUGGAAGAUAGCCCUUAUUGGGUGCAAAAGCCAAGAAGUCCAACAUUUAUGGGAGACGGACACUACUUAGCAGAUAUUCAGGAUUUGGAGAAGAAGCUGCCUUGCAAUGCCGAAGACAAAUACUGCGCGCCGGACUCAUCGUCAUUGAAGCCUGGUUCAGGGGCUACUGAGGGAGUCCUGGAUUAGGGGGUCUCCAUACAGCCGGACUAUAUCCUUUGGCCGGACUGUUGGACUAUGAACAUACAAGAUUGAAGACUUCGUCUCGUGUCCGGAUGGGACUCUCCUUGGCGUGGAAGGCAAGCUAGGAAAUACAGAUAUGUAGAUCUCCUCCCUUGUAACCGACUCUGUGUAACCCUAACCCCCUCCGAUAUCUAUAUAAACCAGAGGGUUUAGUCCAUAGGACAACAGACGAUCAUACCAUAGGCUAGCUUCUAGGGUUUAGCCUCUACGAUCUCGUGGUAGAUCAACUCUUGUAAUACUCAUAUCCUCAAGAACAAUCAAGCAGGAUGUAGGGUAUUACCUCCAUCAAGAGGGCCCGAACCUGGGUAAACAUCGUGUCCCCUGCCUCUUGUUACCAUCCACCUUAGACGCACAGUUCGGGACCCGCUACCCGAGAUCCGCCGGUUUUGACACCGACAUGGAUCUAGAGUUCAAGGGACGUCAUCGAGCUGAACGUAUGCAGAUCGUGGUGUUGGAAAUAUGCCCUAGAGGCAAUAAUAAAUUGGUUAUUAUUAUAUUUCCUUGUUCAUGAUAAUCGUUUAUUAUCCAUGCUAGAAUUGUAUUGAUAGGAAACUCAGAUACAUGUGUGGAUACAUAGACAACACCAUGUCCCUAGUAAGCCUCUAGUUGACUAGCUCGUUAAUCAAUAGAUGGUUACGGUUUCCUGACCAUGGACAUUGGAUGUCGUUGAUAACGGGAUCACAUCAUUAGGAGAAUGAUGUGAUGGACAAGACCCAAUCCUAAGCCUAGCACAAGGAUCGUGUAGUUCGUUCGCUAAAGAUUUUCUAAUGUCAAGUAUCAUUUCCUUAGACCAUGAGAUUGUGCAACUCCCGGAUACCGUAGGAAUACUUUGGGUGUGCCAAACGUCACAAUGUAACUGGGUGACUAUAAAGGUGCACUACGGGUAUCUCCGAAAGUGUCUGUUGGGUUGGCACGAAUCGAGACUGGGAUUUGUCACUCCGUGUGACGGAGAGGUAUCUCUGGGCCCACUCGGUAGGACAUCAUCAUAAUGUGCACAAUGUGAUCAAGGAGUUGAUCACGGGAUGAUGUGUUACGGAACGAGUAAAGAGACUUGCCGGUAACGAGAUUGAACAAGGUAUCGGGAUAUCGACGAUCGAAUCUCGGGCAAGUAUCGUACCGCUAGACAAAGGGAGUUGUAUACGGGAUUGAUUGAAUCCUCGACAUCGUGGUUCAUCCGAUGAGAUCAUCAUGGAGCAUGUGGGAGCCAACAUGGGUAUCCAGAUCCCGCUGUUGGUUAUUAGCCGGAGAGUCAUCUCGGUCAUGUCUACGUGUCUCCCGAACCCGUAGGGUCUACACACUUAAGGUUCGGUGACGCUAGGGUUGUAGGGAUAUGUAUAUGCAGUAACCCGAAUGUUGUUCGGAGUCUCGAAUGAGAUCCCGGACGUCACGAGGAGUUCCAGAAUGGUCCGAAGGUAAAGAAUUGUAUAUAGGAAGUGCUAUUUCGGCCAUCGGGACAAGUUUCGGGGUCACCGGUAUUGUACCGGGACCACCGGAAGGGUCCCGGGGGUCCACCGGGUGGGGCCACCUAUCCCGGAGGGCCCCAUGGGCUGAAGUGGGAAGGGAUCCAGCCCAAAGUGGGCUGGGGCGCCACUUUCCUCUAGGUCCCAUGCGCCUAGGGUGGAAAAACCCUAGGGGAAGAGUCCCAAAGGGGGAAGGCACCCCCUAGGUGCCUUGGGGAGGAGGGACUCCUCCCUUGGCCGCCGCCCCCCUAGGAGAUUGCAUCUCCUAGGGCCGGCGCCCCCUCCCUAGGCUCCCUAUAUAUAGUGGGGGAGAUGGAGGCCUUCUCACCUUUGCCUUUGGUGCCUCCCUCUCCCUCUCCAACACAUCCUUCUCCUCCAUAGAGCUUGGCGAAGCCCUGCCGGAGUACUGCAGCUCCAUCACCACCACGUCAUCGUGCUGCUGCUGGAGCCAUCUUCCUCAACCUCUCCUCCCCCCUUGCUGGAUCAAGAAGGAGGAGACAUCGCUGCUCCGUUCGUGUGUUGAACGCGGAGGUGCCGUCCGUUCGGCGCUAGGAUCUCCGGUGAUUUGGAUCACGUCGAGUACGCCUUCAUCAACCCCGUUCUCUUGAACGCUUCCGCGCGCGAUCUACAAGGGUAUGUAGAUCCACUCCUCCCUCGUUGCUAGAUGACUCCAUAGAUAGAUCUUGGUGACACGUAGGAAAAUUUUGAAUUUAUGCUACGUUCCCCAACAGUGGCAUCAUGAGCUAGGUCUAUGCUUAGUUUCUAUGCACGAGUAGAACACAAAGUAGUUGUGGGCGUUGAUUUUGUUCAAUAUGCUUACCGUUACUAGUCCAAUCUUGAUUCGGUGGCAUUGUGGGAUGAAGCGGCCCGGACCGACCUUACACGUACUCUUAUGUAAGACUGGUUCCACCGACUGACAUGCACUAGUUGCAUAAGGUGGCUAGCGGGUGUCUGUCUCUCCCACUUUAGUCGGAUCGAAUUCAAUGAAAAGGGUCCUUAUGAAGGGUAAAUAUCAAUUGGCAUAUCACGUUGUGGUUUUUGCGUAGGUAAGAAACGUUCUUGCUAGAAACCCAUAGCAGCCACGUAAAACAUGCAAACAACAAUUAGAGGACGUCUAACUUGGAUUUGCAGGGUAUGCUAUGUGAUGUGAUAUGGCCAAGAAGAAUGUGAUGAAUGAUAUGUGAUGUAUGAGAUUGAUCAUGUUCUUGUAAUAGGAAUCACGACUUGCAUGUCGAUGAGUAUGACAGCCGGCAGGAGCCAUAGGAGUUGUCUUUAUUUAUUUAUGACCUGCGUGUCAACAUAAAUGUCAUGUAAUUACUUUACUUUAUUGCUAACCGUUAGCUGUAGUAGUAGAAGUAAUAGUUGGCAAGACAACUUCAUGAAGACACGGUGGUGGAGAUCAUGAUGAUGGAGAUCAUGGUGUCAAUGCCGGUGACGAUAAUGAUCAUGGAGCCCCGAAGAUGGAGAUCAAAAGGAGCAAUAUGAUAUUGGCCAUAUCAUGUCACUAUUUGAUUGCAUGUGAUGUUUAUCAUGUUUAUACAUCUUAUUUGCUUAGAACGACGGUAGUAAAUAAGAUGAUCCCUCACUAAAAUUUCAAGAAGGUGUUCCCCCUAACUGUGCACCGUUGCGAAAGUUCGUUGUUUCGAAGCACCACGUGAUGAUCGGGUGUGAUAGAUUCUUACGAUUCGAAUACAACGGGUGUUGACGAGCCUAGCAUGUAUAGACAUGGCCUCGGAACACAUGCAAAACACUUAGGUUGACUUGACGAGCCUAGCAUGUACAGACAUGGCCUCGGAACACAAGAGACCGAAAGGUCGAGCAUGAGUCGUAUGGUAGAUACGAUCAACAUGAAGAUGUUCACCGAUGAUGACUAGUCCUUCUCACGUGAUGAUCGGACACGGCCUAGUUGACUCGGAUCAUGUAAUCACUUAGAUGACUAGAGGGAUGUCUAUCUGAGUGGGAGUUCACAAGAUGAACUUAAUUAUCCUGAACAUAGUCAAAAGGUCUUCGCAAAUUAUGUCGUAGCUCGCGCUUUAGUUCUACUGUUUAGAUAUGUUCCUAGAGAAAAUUUAGUUGAAAGUUGAUAGUAGUAAUUAUGCGGACUAGGUCCGUAAACUGAGGUUUGUCCUCAUUGCUUCAUAGAAGGCUUAUGUCCUUAAUGCACCGCUCAGUGUGCUGAACCUCGAACGUUGUCUAUGGAUGUUGCGAACAUCUGACAUGCACAUUUUGAUAACUACGUGAUAGUUCAGUUAAACGGCUUAGAGUUGAGGCACCGAAGACGUUUUGAAACAUCGCGAAACAUGUGAGAUGUUUCGAGGGCUGAAAUUGGGAUUUCGGGCUCAUGCCCACGUCAAGAGGUAUAAGACCUCCGACGAUUUUCUUAGCCUGCAAACUAAGGGAGAAAAGCUCAAUCGUUGAGCAUGUGCUCAGAUUAUCUGAGUACAACAAUCAUUUGAAUCGAGUGGGAGUUGAUCUUCCAGAUGAGAUAGUGAUGUUUCUCCGAAGUCAUUACCACCAAGCUGCUAGAGCUUCGUGAUGAACUAUAAUGUAUCGGGGACAUAUAUGAUGAUCCUUGAGAUAUUCGCGAUGUUUGACACCACAAAAGUAGAAAUCAAGAAGGAGCAUCAAUUGUUGAUGGUUGGUGAAACCACUAGUUUCAAGAAGGGCAAGGGCAAGAAGGGACACUUCAUGAAACGGCAAAUCAGCUGCUGCUCUAGUGAAGAAACCCAAGGUUGAACCCAAACCCGAGACUAAGUGCUUCUGUAAUAAGGGGAACAGUCACUGAAGCAGAACCACCCUAGAUACUUGGUAGAUGAGAAGGCUGGCAAGGUGGACAGAAGUAUAUUGGAUAUGCAUUAUAAUGUGUACUUUACUAGUACUCCUAGUAGCACCAGGGUAUUAGAUACCGGUUCGGUUGCUAAGUGUUGGUAACUCGAAACAAAAGGCUACGGAAUAAACGGAGACUAGCUAAAGGUGAGAUGACGAUAUGUGUUGGAAGUAUUUCCAAGGUUUAUCAAAUAUCGUACGCUCCCUCUACCAUCGAGAUUGGUGUUUGCGUUGAGCAUAGACAUGAUUGGAUUAUGUCUAUCGCAAUACAGUUAUUCAUUUAAAGAGAAUAAUGGUUACUCUGUUUAUUUGAAUAAUACCUUCAAUGGUCUUACACCUGAAAUGAAUGGUUUAUUGAAUCUCGAUCGUAGUGAUACACAUGUUCAUGCCAAAAGAUAGUAAUGAUAGUACCACCUACUUGUGGCACUGCCACGUAAGUCAUAUCGGUAUAAAACGCAUGAAGAAGCUCCAUGUUGAUGGAUCUUUGGGCUCACUUGUUUUGAAAUAAUUGAGACAUGCGAACCAUGUCUAUUGGUGUAUAUGCAUGAAGAAACUCCAUGCAAAUGGACCGUUUGGACUCACUUGAUUUUGAAUCACUUGAGACAUGCAAAUCAUACCACAUGGGCAAGAUGACUGAAAUCCUCGUUUUCAGUAAAAUGGAACUAGAAAGCAACUUGUUGGAAGUAAUACAUUUUGAUGUGUGCAAUCCAAUGAGUGCUGAGGCAUGUAGUGGAUAUCGUUAUGUUCUUACUUCACAGAUGAUUUGAGUAGAUGUUGAGUAUAUUUACUUGAUGAAUCACGAGUCUGAAUUAUUGAAAGGUUCAAGUAAUUUCAGGGUGAAGUUGAAAGAUCGUCGUGACAAGAGGAUAAAAUAUCUAUGAUAUGAUCAUAGAGAUGAAUAUCUGAAUUACGAGUUUGGCACAGAAUUAAGACAUUGUGGAAAUUGUUUCACAACUAAUACAGCCUGGAACACCGUAGUGUGAUGGUGUGUCCGAACAUCAUAACUGCACCCUAUUAGAUAUGAUGCGUACCAUGAUGUCUCUUAUCGAAUUACCACGAUAGUUUAUGGGUUAGGCAUUAAAGACAACCACAUUCACUUUAAAUAGGGCACCACAUAAUUCCGAUGAGAUGACACCACAUGAACUAUGGUUUAGAGAAACCUAAGCUGUCAUUUCUUAAAAGUUUGGGGCUGCGACGCUUAUGUGAAAAAGGUUUCAGGCUGAUAAGCUCGAACCCAAAGCGGAUAAAUGCAUCUUCAUAGGACACCCAAAACAGUUGGGUAUACCUCAUGUCUCAGAUUCGAAAGCAAUAAGGGAUUGUUUCUAGAAUCGGGUUCUUUCUCGAGGAAAAGUUUCUCUCGAAAGAAUUGAGUGGGAGGAUGGUGGAGACUUGAUGAGGUUAUUGAACCGUCUCUUCAACUAGUGUGUGGCAGGGCACAGGAAGUUGUUCCUGUGGCACCUACACCAAUUGAAGUGGAAGCUUAUGAUAGUGAUCAUGAAACUUCAGAUCAAGUCACUACCAAACCUCAUGGGAUGACAAGGAUGCGUACUACUUCAGAGUGGUACGUAAUCCUGUCUUGGAAGUCAUGUUGCUAGAUAACAAUGAACCUACGAGCUAUGGAGAAGCGAUGGUGGGCCUGGAUUCCAAAAUGGCUCGAGGCCAUAAAAUCCGAGAGAGGAUCCAUGUAUGAAAACAAAGUGUAGACUUUGGCAGAACGACUCGAUGGUCGUAAGGCUAUUGAGUACAGAUGGAUUUUAAAAGGAAGACGGACAAUGAUCGUAAGUAUCACCAUUAAGAAAGCUCGACUUGUCGUUAAGAUUUUUUCCGACAAGUUCAAGGAGUUGACUAUGAUGAGACUUUCUCACUCGUAGCGAUGCUAAGAGUCUGUUGGAAUUAUAUUAGCAAUUACUGCAUUAUUUGUGAAAUCUUGCAGAUAGGAUGCAAAAAACCAUUGUUUCCUCGACGAUUUUUGAGGAAAGGUUGUAUGUGAUACAACCAGAAAGUUUUUGUUAAUCCUGAAAGAUGCUAAUAAGUAUGCAAAGCUCCAGCAAUCCUUCUAAGGACUGGAGUAAGCAUCUCGGAGUUGGAAUGUAUGCUUUGAUAAGAUGAUCAAAGUUUUGGGUGUAUACAAAGUUUAUGAGAAACUUGUAUUUCCAAAGAAGUGAGUGGGAGCACUAUAGAAUUUCUGAUAAAUAUAUGUUGACAUAUUGUUGAUCAGAAAUGACGUAGAAUUUCUGGAAAGCAUAUAGGGUUAUUUGGAAAGUAUUUUUCAAUGGAAAGCCUGGAUUAAGCUACUUGAACAUUGAGCAUCAAGAUCUAUAAGGAUAGAUCAAAAUUCUUAAUGGUACUUUCAAAUGAGCACAUACCUUGACAUGAUCUUGAAGGUAAUCAAGAUGGACCAGUCAAAGAAGGAGUUCUUUCCUGAGUUGUAAGGUAUGAAGUUAAGACUUAAAGCUCGACCACGGCAGAAGAAAGAGGAAGGACGAAGGUCGUCCCCUAUGCUUUUGUCAUAGGCUCUAUACGGUAUGCCAUGCUGAGUACCGCACCUGAUGUGUGCCUUGCCACAUAUCUGGCAAGAGGGUACAAAGGUAAUCUAGGAGUAGAUCACCAGAUAGAGGUCUAAAUUAUCCUUAGAGGAAUAAGGAUAUGUUUCUCGGUUAUGGAGGUGAUAAAGAGUUCGACGUAAAGAGUUACGUCGAUGCAAGCUUAACACCUAUCCGGAUAGCUCUGAGUAGAGAUACCGGAUACGUAUAAUGGAGCAACAAUUUAGAAUAGCUCCAAGUAGAACAGUUAUUUGAAAUGGCUCCAAAUAUAGCGUAGUAGCUGCAUCUACAAGAUGACAUAGAGAUUUGCGAAGUACAUACGGAUCUGAAAGAUUCAGACCCGUUGACUAUAACAUCUCUCACAAGCAUAACAUGAUCAAACCCAGAACUCCUCGAGUGUUAAUCACAUGGUAAUGUGAACUAGAUUAUUGACUCUAGUAAACUCUUUGGGUGUUAGUCACAUGGGGAUGUGACCUUGAGUGUUAGUCACAUAGCGAUGUGAACUGGAUUAUUGACUCUAGUGCAAGUGGGAGACUGUUGGAAAUAUGCCCUAGAGGCAAUAAUAAAUUGGUUAUUAUUAUAUUUCCUUGUUCAUGAUAAUCGUUUAUUAUCCAUGCUAGAAUUGUAUUGAUAGGAAACUCAGAUACAUGUGUGGAUACAUAGACAACACCAUGUCCCUAGUAAGCCUCUAGUUGACUAGCUCGUUAAUCAAUAGAUGGUUACGGUUUCCUGACCAUGGACAUUGGAUGUCGUUGAUAAUGGGAUCACAUCAUUAGGAGAAUGAUGUGAUGGACAAGACCCAAUCCUAAGCCUAGCACAAGGAUCGUGUAGUUCGUUCGCUAAAGAUUUUCUAAUGUCAAGUAUCAUUUCCUUAGACCAUGAGAUUGUGCAACUCCCGGAUACCGUAGGAAUACUUUGGGUGUGCCAAACGUCACAACGUAACUGGGUGACUAUAAAGGUGCACUACGGGUAUCUCCGAAAGGGUCUGUUGGGUUGGCACGAAUCGAGACUGGGAUUUGUCACUCUGUGUGAUGGAGAGGUAUCUCUGGGCCCACUCAGUAGGACAUCAUCAUAAUGUGCACAAUGUGAUCAAGGAGUUGAUCACGGGAUGAUGUGUUACGGAACGAGUAAAGAGACUUGCCGGUAACGAGAUUGAACAAGGUAUCGGGAUAUCAACGAUCGAAUCUCGGGCAAGUAUCGUACCGCUAGACAAAGGGAAUUGUAUACGGGAUUGAUUGAAUCCUCGACAUCGUGGUUCAUCCGAUGAGAUCAUCGUGGAGCAUGUGGGAGACAACAUGGGUAUCCAUAUCCCGCUGUUGGUUAUUGGCCGGAGAGUCGUCUCGGUCAUGUCUACGUGUCUCCCGAACCCGUAGGGUCUACACACUUAAGGUUCAGUGACGCUAGGGUUGUAGGGAUAUGUAUAUGCAGUAAUACGAAUGUUCUUCGGAGUCCCGGAUGAGAUCCCGGACGUCACGAGGAGUUCCGGAAUGGUCCGGAGGUAAAGAAUUGUAUAUAGGAAGUGCUAUUUCGGCCAUCGGGACAAGUUUCGGGGUCACCGGUAUUGUACCGGGACCACCGGAAGGGUCCCGGGGGUCCACCGGGUGGGGCCACCUAUCCUGGAGGGCAUCAUGGGCUGAAGUGGUAAGGGAUCCAGCCCAAAGUGGGCUGGGGCACCACUUCCCUCUAGGGCCCAUGCGCCUAGGGUGGAAAAACCCUAGGGGAAGAGUCCCAAAGGGGGAAGGCACCCCCUAGGUGCCUUGGGGAGGAGGGACUCCUCCCUUGGCUGCCGCCCCCCUAGGAGAUUGCAUCUCCUAGGGCCAGCGCCCCCUCCCUAGGCUCCCUAUAUAUAGUGGGGGAGAUGGAGGCCUUCUCACCUUUGCCUUUGGUGCCUCCCUCUCUCUCUCCAACACAUCCUUCUCCUCCAUAGAGCUUGGCGAAGCCCUGCCGGAGUACUGCAGCUCCAUCACCACCACGCCGUCGUGCUGCUACUGGAGCCAUCUUCCUCAACCUCUCCUCCCCCCUUGCUGGAUCAAGAAGGAGGAGACGUCGCUGCUCCAUACGUGUGUUGAACAAGGAGGUGCCGUCCGUUCGGCGCUAGGAUCUCCGGUGAUUUGGAUCACGUCGAGUACGCCUUCAUCAACCCCGUUCUCUUGAACGCUUCCGCGCGCGAUCUACAAGGGUAUGUAGAUCCACUCCUCCCUUGUUGCUAGAUGACUCCAUAGAUAGAUCUUGGUGACACGUAGGAAAAUUUUGAAUUUAUGCUACGUUCCCCAACACGCGGAGGUGCCAUGCAUUCAGUACUUGAUCGGUUGGAUCGCGAAGACGUUCGACUACAUCAACCGCGUUACUUAACACUUCCGCUUUUGGUCUACGAGGGUACAUAGACGCACUCUCUCCUCUCGUUGCUAUGCAUCUCCUAGAUAGAUCUUGUGUGAUCGUAAGAAUUUUUUGAAAUACUGCGUUCCCCAACAGUGGCAUCCGAGCCAGGUCUAUGCGUAGAUGUUAUAUGCACGAGUAGAACACAAAGAGUUGUGGGUGAUAAUAGUCAUACUGCUUACCAGCAUGUCAUACUUUGAUUCGGCGAUAUUGUUGGAUGAAGCGGUCCAGACCGACAUUACAUGACUGUGUUCAUGAGACUGGUUCUAUCACCGUGUUUCGCACAUAGGUGGCUAGUGGGUGUCUGUUUCUCCAACUUUAGUUGAAUCGAGUGUCACUAUGCCCGACCCUUGUUGAAGGUUAAAACAGCAAACUUGACGAAAAAUCAUUGUGGUUUUGAUGCGUAGGUAAGAACGGUUCUUGCUAAAGCCCGUAGCAGCCACGUAAAACUUGCAACAACAAAAUAGAGGACGUCUAACUUAUUUUUGCAGCGCAUGUUGUGAUGUGAUAUGGUCAAGACGUGAUGAGAUAUAAAUUGUUGUAUGUGAUGAUCAUGUUUUGUAACACAGUUAUCGGCAACUGGCAGGAGCCAUAUGGUUGUCGCUUUAUUGUAUGAAAUGCAAUCGCCAUGUAAUUGCUUUACUUUAUCACUAAGCGGUAGCGAUAGUCGUGGAAGCAAUAGUUGGCGAGACGACAACGAUGCUACGAUGGAGAUCAUGGUGUCAAGCCGCUGACGAUGGUGAUCAUGAUGGUGCUUUGGAGAUGGAGAUCAAAGGCACAAGAUGAUGAUGGCCAUAUCAUAUCACUUAUAUUGAUUGCAUGUGAUGUUUAUCCUUUAUGCAUCUUAUUUUGCUUAGUACGACAGUAGCAUUAUAAUAUGAUCUCUCACAAAAUUUCAAGGUACAAGUGUAUUCCCUGAGUAUGCAUUGUUGCUACAGUUUGUCGUGCCGAGACACCACGUGAUGAUCGGGUGUGAUAAGCUCUACGUUCACAUACAACGGGUGCAAGCCAGUUUUGCACACGCAGAAUACUCGGGUUAAACUUGACGAGCCUAGCAUAUGUAGAUAUGGCCUCGGAACACUGAGACCGAAAGGGUGAGCGUGAAUCAUAUAGUAGAUAUGAUCAACAUAUUUAUGUUCACCAUUGAAAACUACUCCAUCUCACGUGAUGAUCAGACAUGGUUUAGUUGAUAUAUAUGGAUCACGUGAUCGCUUAGAUGAUUAGAGGGAUGUCUAUCUAAGUGGGAGUUCUUAAGUAAUAUGAUUAAUUGAACUUAAAUUUAUCAUGAACUUAGUCCUGAUAGUAUUUGCAUAUCUAUGUUGUAGAUCAAUUGCUCGCCUAUAGCUUCCCCGUUUUAUUUGUGAUAUGUUCCUAGAGAAAACUAAGUUGAAAGUUGAUAGUAGCAAUGAUGCGGACUAGGUCCGUGAUAUGAGGAUUAUCCUCAUUGUUGCAUAGAAGAAUUAUGUCUUUGAUGCACCGCUAGGUGACAGAACUAUUGUAGGAGCAAAUACAAACGUUAUGAAUGUUUGACAAGCUCGGCAUGAUGACUACUUGAUAGUUUAGUGCGCCAUACUUUACGGCCUAGAAACGCGACUUCAAAAAUGUUUUGAACGCCACGGAGCAUAUAAGAUGUUCUAAGAGCUAAAAUUGGUAUUUCAGACUCAUGCCCGAGUCGAGAGGUAUGAAACCUCUGACAAAUACUUUGCCUACAAGAUGGAGGAAAAUAGCUCAACCAGUGAGCAUGUGCUCAGGAUGUUUGAGUACUACGAUCGCUUGAAUCAAGUGGAAGUUAAUCUUUGAGAUAAAAUAGUGAUUGACAAAGUUCUCUGGUCACUACCACGAAGUUACUGGAACUUCGUGAUGAACUAUAAUAUGCAAGGGAUAACAAUUCCCGAGCUCUUGGCGAUGCUAAAAUCGGCGAAGGUAGAAGUCAAGAAAAGCAUCAAGUGUUGAUGGUUGACAAGACCACUAGUUUCAAGUAAAAGGGAAAGGGAAAGAAAGGGAACUUCAAGAAGAAUGACAAGCAAGUUGCCACUCCCAUGAAGAAACCCAAAGCUAGACCCAAGCCUGAAACUGAGUGCUUCUACUACAAAGAAAAUGGUCACUGGAAGCGAAACUGCCACAAAUACUUGGCGGAUAAGAAGGAUGGCAAAGUGAACAAAAGUAUAUAUGAUAUACAUGUUAUUGAUGUGUACUUUACUAGUAUUCAUAGUAGCCCCUGGGUAUUUGAUACUGGUUCAGUUGCCAUGAUUAGUAACUUGAAACAUGAUUUAUAAAAUGAACAAAGACUAGUUAAGGGCAAGGUGACGAUGUGUGUUGGAAGUGAUUCCAAGGUUGAUAAGAUCAUCAUCGCACACUCCCUUUACCUUCAGGAUUAGUGUUAAACCUAAAAUAAAUAUUAUUUGGUGUUUGCGUUGAGCAUAAUAUGAUUGGAUCAUGUUUAUUGCAAUAUGGUUAUUCAUUUAAGUCAAACAGUAAUUGUUAUUCUAUUUACAUGAAUAAAACCUUCUGUGGUCAUACACCCAAGGUGAAUGGUUUAUUGAAUCUCGAUUGUAGUGAUACACAUAUUCAUAAUAUUGAAGCCAAAAGAUGCAAGGUUAAUAAUGAUAGUGCAACUUAUUUGUGGCACUGCCGUUUCGGUCAUAUUGGUGUAAAGUGCAUGAAAAAACUCCAUGUUGGUUGACUUUUGGAAUCACUUGAUUAUGAAUCACUUGAUGCUUGCGAACCAUGCCUCAUGGGCAAGAUGACUAAGACUCCAUUCUCUGGAAAAAUGGAGUGAGCCACUGACUUACUAGAAAUAAUACAUAACGGUGUAUGCGGUUCGAUGAGUGUUGAGGCUCGCGGCGGGUAUCGUUAUUUUUUGACCUUCACAGAUGAUUUGAGCAGAUAUGAGUAUAUCUACUUAAUGAAACAUAAGUCUGAAACAUUUGAAAAGUUCAAAGAAUUUCAGAGUGAAGUGGAAAAUCAUCAUAACAAGAAAAUAAAGUUUCUACGAUCUGAUCGUGGAGGUGAAUAUUUGAGUUAUGAGUUUUGUCUUAAUUUGAAACAAUGUGAAAUAGUUUCGCAACUCAUGCCGCCUGGAACACCACAGCGUAAUGUGUGUCCGAACAUCAUAACCGUACUUUAUUAGAUAUGGUGCGAUCUAUGAUGUCUCUUACUGAUUUACCACUGUCGUUUUUGGGGUUAUGCAUUAGAGACAGUUGCAUUCACGUUAAAUAAGGCACCGUCUAAAAAUCUGUUGAGACGACACCGUAUGAACUGUGGUUUAGCCAGAAACCUAAGCUGUCGUUUCUUAAAGUUUGGGGUUGCGAUGCUUAUGUGAAAAAGUUUCAGCUUGAUUAGCUCAAACCCAAAUCGGAGAAGUGCGUCUUCAUAGGAUACCCAAAAGGAAAUGUUGGGUACACUUUCUAUCACAGAUCCGAAGGCAAGAUUUUUGUUGCUAAGAGUGGAUCCUUUCUAGAGAAGGAGUUUAUCUCGAAAGAAGUAAGUGGGAGGAAAGUAGAAACUUGAUGAGGUAAUUGUACCCUCUCUCUAAUUGGAAAGUAGCUCAUCACUGAAAUCAGUUCCACUGAUGCCUGCACCAAUUAGUGAGGAAGUUUACGAUGAUGAUCAUGAAACUUCAGAUCAAGUUACUACCGAACCUCGUAGGUCAACCAGAGUACGAUCCGCAUCAGAGUGGUAUGCUAAUCCUAUUCUGGAAGUCAUGUUGCUAGACCAUGAUGAACCUACAAACUAUGAGGAAGCGAUGAUGAGCCCAGAUUCCGACUAAUGGCUUGAGGCCAUGAAAUCUGAGAUAGAAUCCAUGUAUAAAAACAUAGUCUGGACUUUGGUGGACUUUCCCGAUGAUUGACAAGCCAUUGAGAAUAAAUGGAUCUUCAAAAGGAAGACGGACGCUGAUAGUAGUGUUACUAUCUACAAAGCUCGACUUGUCGAAAAGGUUUUUGACAAAUUCAAAAUGUUGACUACGAUGAGAUUUUCUCACUCGUAUCGAUGCUUAAAGUCUGUCCGAAUCAUGUUAGCAAUUGCUACAUUUUAUGAAAUUUGGCAAAUGGAUGUCAAAACUGCAUUCCUUAAUGGAUAUCUUAAAGAAGAGUUGUAUAUGAUGCAACCAGAAGGUUUUGUCGAUCCAAAAGAUGCUAACAAAGUGUGCAAGCUCCAGCAACCCAUUUAUGGACUGGUGCAAGCCUCUCGGAGUUGGAAUAUACGCUUUGAUAGUGUGAUCAUAGUAUAUGGUUUUAUACAGACUUUUGGAAAAGUCUGUAUUUACAAGAAAGUGAGUGGGACUCUGUAGCAUUUCUGAUAUUAUAUGUGGAUGACAUAUUGUUGAUUAGAAAUGAUACUGAAUUUCUGGAUAGCAUAAAAGGAUACUUGAAUAAGAAUUUUUCAAUGAAAUACCUCGGUGAAGCAGCUUACAUAUUGAGCAUCAAGAUCUAUAGAGAUAGAUCAAGACGCUUGAUAAAUUUUUUCAAUGAGUACAUACCUUGACAAGUUUUUGAAGUAGUUCAAAAUGAAUCAGUCAAAGAAAGAGUUCUUUCUUGUGUUGCAAGGUGUGAAGUUGAGUAAAGACUCAAAACCAGACCACAGCAAAAAAUAGAAAGAGAAUGAAAAAUCAUUCCCUAUGCCUCAGUCAUAGGUUCUAUAAAGUAUGCUAUGUUGUGUACUAGACCUAUUGUAUACCAUAGCAUGAUUUUGGCAAGGGAGCACAAUAGUGAUCUAGGAGUAGAUCACUGGACAACGGUCAAAAUUAUCCAUAGAGUUAAGAAAAUAUUUCUCGGUUAUGGAGGUGAUAAAAGAGUUUGUCGUAAAGAGUUACGUCGAUGCAAGCUUUUGACACCGAUCUAGAUACAUAUUAAAAGUGGGAGCAAUUAGCAAGAGUAGCUCUAUGCAGAGUAUUGUAGACAUAGAAAUUUGCAAAAUACAUAUGGAUCUGAAUGUUGCAGACCCAUAGACUAAACUUCUCUCAUAAGCAAAACAUGAUCACUCUUUGGAUGUUAAUCACAUAAAUAUGUGAACUAGAUUAUUGGCUCUAGUAAACCCUUUGGGUAUUAGUCACAUGAAGAUGUGAACUAAUCACAUAAAGAUGUGAACUACUGGUGUGAAAUCACAUGACGAUGUGAACUAGAUUACUGACUCUAGUGCAAGUGGGAGACUGAAGGAAAUAUGCCCUAGAGGCAAUGAUAAAGUUGUUAUUUAUAUUUUCUUAUAUCAUGAUAAAUGUUUAUUAUGCAUGCUAGAAUUGUAUUAACCGAAAACUUAGUACGUGUGUGAAUACAUGAACAAACAGAGUGUCCCUAGUAUGCCUCUACUCGACUAGCUCGUUAAUCAAAGAUGGUUAAGUUUCCUAACCAUAGACAUGUGUUGUCAUUUGAUGAACGAGAUUACUGAUGGACAAGACUCAUCCGUUAGCUUAGCACUACGAUCAUUUAUUUUAUUAUUAUUGCUUUCUUCAUGACUUAUACAUGUUCCUAUGACUAUGAGAUUAUGCAACUCCCGAACAUCGCAGGAACACUUAGUGUCCUAUCAAAUAUCACAACAUAACUGGGUGAUUAUGAAGAUGCUCUACAGGUGUUUCCGAUGGUGUUUGUUGAGUUGGCAUAGAUCGAGAUUAGGAUUUGUCACUCCGAUUGUCGAAGAGGUAUCUCUGGACCCUCUCGGUAAUGCACAGCACUAUAAGCCUUGCAAGCAAUGUGACUAAUGAGUUAGUUACGGAAUGAUACAUUGCGGAACGAGUAAAGAGACUUGCCCGUAACGAGAUUGAACUAGGUAUGAUGAUACCGACGAUCGAAUCUCGGGCAACUAACAUACCGAUGGCAAAGAAAACAAUGUAAGUUGUAAUGCGUUUUGACUGAUAAAGAUCUUCGUAACCAAUAUGAGCAUCCAGGUUCCGCUAUUCAUUAUUGACCGGAGAUAUGUCUCGGUCAUGUCUACAUAGUUCUCGAACCCGUAGGGUCCACACGCUUAACGUUCGACGACGAUUUGUAUUAUGAGUUAUGUGAUUUGAUGACCGAAGUUUGUUCCGAGUUCCGGAUGAGAUUACGGACAUGACAAGAAGUCUUGAAAUGGUCGAGACGUAAAGAUUGAUAUAUUGAAAGGCUAUAUUCGGACAUCGGAAAGGUUCUGAGUGGUUCGGGUAUUUUUUUCGAGUACGAGAGAGUUACAGGAAUUCAUCGGGGAAGUAUUGAGCCUUCAUGGUCAGUCCAAUUCAGAUGUCAAUUCAGGUGCCUAAUCAAAUAGAACCCUUAGUGGAAAGGAGAGAAGGGCCACAAGGAAAGGCCGCGCGCCCCCCCAUGGGCUGGUCCGAAUUUGGCUAGGGAGGGGCGGCGCCCCCCUCUUUCCUUCUCCCUCUCUUCUCCUUCCUUCUUCUCCUACUUGGACUAGGAAAGGGGGAAACCUACUCCUACUAGGAGUUGGAAUCCCCCCCUUGGGCGCGCCUCUUGUGGCUGGUCCUCCUCCUCCUCCCUUCCUUUAUAUACGGGGGAGGGGGCACCUCACAUACACACAAGUUAAUCUUAACCGUGUGCGGUGCCCCCUUCAUAGAUUUUCACUUUAAUCAUAUUGUCGUAGUGCUUACGCGAAGCCCUGCGUCGGUAAUUUCAUCAUCAUCGUCAACACGCCGUCGUGCUGACGAAACUCUCCCUCGGCCUCAGCUAGAUCUAGAGUUCGACGUCAUCGAGCUGAACGUGUACAGAUCGCGGAGGUGCCGUGCAUUCGGUACUUGAUCGGUUGAAUCGCAAAGACGUUCGACUACAUCAACCGUGUUACUUAACGCUUCUGCUUUCGGUUUACGAAGAUACGUAGACACACUCUUUCCGCUUGUUACUAUGCAUCUUCUAGAUAGAUCUUGCAUGAUCGUAAGAAUUUUUUUUAAAUACUGUAUUCCCCAAUAGACUUUUGGUUGGCUAAAUAAAUGUUGGAACUUCCACAAAGCCCUCAAGCCCCCUCCUCUUGUCUCACGUACGUUUGAGGGAUAACAUUUGGAGGACUACUGGGAAGCGACGAGGGACGAUUUGUGGGUACGUGUUAUGCUUUGUGUAUCAACUUACAAGGCUCACAGUCAAAGAAAAAAAAAACA
This 58087-nucleotide long non-coding RNA is filed under the name Triticum aestivum (bread wheat). RNAcentral's name for it is "long non-coding RNA (TAES_LNC005643)". The stretch from base 25501 to 25635 matches the Rfam family "MIR1120/MIR1122 microRNA precursor family". The record is from RNAcentral. Lineage: Eukaryota; Viridiplantae; Streptophyta; Magnoliopsida; Poales; Poaceae.